Molecule: long non-coding RNA, 58963 nt
Filed under: Setaria viridis
Lineage: Eukaryota; Viridiplantae; Streptophyta; Magnoliopsida; Poales; Poaceae
Description: long non-coding RNA (SVIR_LNC007454)
Source: RNAcentral
GACUCGGCAGGGGCAACAACAUCCUCGCCAGCUUCCCAAAGGAGUGGCCGCUCUUCUCCUACAUCAUCGAUGGCGAUCUUCAAGGCAGCACGGUCUGGCUUGCCCACAACGCGUUCUUGGCCCGGAGAGCGACGGCGGCGCGAGCCGGUAGCAGGAGCAUCACCCUAUUCGGCCCCGUCGGCUCCAACAAUAGCACCUACUCCGUCAAGGUCACCGGCAUCAAGGUCGGCGGCGGCGAGGUCGCCAGCGAGGCGGCCACCGGAAUCUUGACGACCACCAUGCCGUUCACGUUCCUCAAUUCGUCUCUCUUCGACCACCUCAAGCAGGAGCUCAAGGCGGUGGCGUCACCGGUCAAUGGCUCCGUCCGAUUCGGGCAGCUGUGCUACCCGAACGGCACGAAGUUACCGGCGAUCACGCUGUUGUUCGUCGGCGAGAACGCCGGGAUGGAGCUGCAGCCGGAGCACUACUCGUACAAGAAGAGCAACGGGGUCGUGUGCCUGUCCAUCCUGCCGUCGCCGUGGUCCAACGGCUUGUCGGUCAUCGGCAGCAUGGUGCAGGCGGGCAGGCAGAUGACCUACAAACUGGACGACAACACGUUGACGUUCGACGACGCCGCGUCGGCGUCCUCCAAGCCGUCGCCGUCUACUUCUUCGUCGGUGGCCCAGGCGCCGUUGACGCCCUUCUGUCUGUCUCCUGCUUUCGCGGUGCUGCUGCUCGCCAUCAUCAUGUGAAGCUAAUUAUUAGUAAGAGGGAGACCCGGAUUGGCCAGCCGGCGACCAUGAUUCAAACCCCGCGGUGCCACUGUCACCACUAGUAAUAUUGUUGUACUGAUAUGCUUUCUACUCAGAUGUCGUUGUCGACAUUUUGUUUUAAAAUACUGCCAUGCAAAUGUCUUUUUUGAAGUAAAAAAAAGAGUCAUGCAAAUCUCAAAUAGCAGAAGUGAAAAGAUAAACGUUUUUUCUAUUCUAUCUCUUAUAUAAAUUUUAUUUUAAAAUAUCCAAAUAUACAAGUAUAUAUGGUGCAAAGGGAUUAAUUUGUAUAGUACGUAGAUCCAUUUAUCUAAUUUUUAUCCAGCUGACCAGCUCAAAGCGGCUUUCACUACUGGUCCUCUCGGACCUCUCCACCAGACCUCCACCCAACCAUCUUUUUUUUUAAGACUAAUUGAGGCCAAAAGCUAUUUCCCUGUCAAGCUGGCAACUGUUCGAGUCGGGGCGACGAGCAAGUUGCUAGCACGAGGACGACACAGGGUUCAGGGUUGGCUUGGAAAUUAGCGAGGGGGCGAGGGAUCUGCUCGCAGCCUCGCACGCGCGUCAUGGGCGCGACCCCGCAGGAACUGAACCUGGGCAAGUGUGCACGCGUUUCGACUUUGGGUCGUCUGCAUCAGAACGGCAACCGGAAGCUAUUCCAGUUUGCCCCUCGUCUGAAGAUGCUGGACGCAGAGGUAAACCGGAACAAUCUUUGACUGCUUUAUCCGGAAACCUUUAUCCGGGCUUUUUGGGGUGGCAGCAUCUCAGUCCAAUCAAAGCGUUUCGCUGUCCAUGCGUUCCUUUGUGUUUUGAUUACUUUCGCUCCGCUGCCUGUAGAGAAUUUUUAGACAUCCGCUUUCCCACGGUUCGGCAAUGCAAAGCUCGCCAAUGUUCUUGGAAGUUUGCACAGUCUAAACCCUUUUCUCGACGAAGAAGCACUGGUCCCUAUCGCGUUGAACUGGCCGGCCACGUCGCAUCCUUGGACUCGCUGAUCACACGCCACAGUCCGUGUACGCAUUGGAUCGACUGUUGGGUGAUUGGGCGGUCGCAGAGAGAAACUUUCAUCAACGCACAGCGCACAGUCGAAGAGCUCAUCUACAUCUAGAUCGCGCUCUGGUCCUGUCUGAGCAGUGCCGAACGAGCUCCGCGUAGUGCGUACGUAACAGGUGUGUGGCGAUCCUGGCCUCACGUUGACAGGACGGGCGAAAGGUCGUCGUCGGCGAGCUGAUGUGAGGGCAUGGGCGGACCAGGAAAGGGACCUCUGUGCAAGGGGCAGAAAGGAGGCGCUGUUCCUGUCGAAAGCAGCAAGCCAGCAAGCACCUCGGCGUCGCAGCUUGCGAGCAUCCGGAAACUGACGAGAUGGGCUUGCUGUGCUGGCUCUUCGUACGUGGACUCAUGUACAUGACCGGACAAUAACAUGGGUCCAGCUCGCUGUAGGUCCCAACUGAGAAAUAGGGCAACUCAAACAAGAAAAACAUCUGUUUACCAGAAGCACCAGCACUCAUUUACUUCUAGUUCGUGCCUAUUGUCCUUUUGGUCCUCUUUUUCUUGAGGAAAAUGACAUGAUUUUUUUUUUGAAAUUACGGGACUUUAGAUCAUUUCUCACAAGCUCCGUGAAAUCUGGUGCAACACGGUGAAGUGAUUAAUGUGGGGUUCACUGAUACUAUAGCUAGAAAAAAAAACAAAACACACACACACAAGCGACAUCUGUGUUAGUGGCAAGAUUUAAAAAAAAAACAGGAGAAUCUAACAAGCAACAUGGUUGAAGCGAUGAAUGAUCAUACCCUAACUUUUUUUCCCUCGAAUACCCAGAAGACGGCACAUCAUUGCAUUAAAAAGAAUAUAUAGAGCACAAAACACACACACAACACACCACUAAAGAAAACAAAAAUGACCCGUGACUUCUCCCUUUAAAGUUAAACCUCGACUAUGGCUGUGCCAACCAUGGGACCAGCCAUGACUCAAAGUUGGACCUCAUCCUUAAUAAUCUGAACGACCCUUUGCAAGCGGUGAUACCCGAUGUUUCCAAAAUAUCCGAGCCCCCAAGGAGUUCAAACCAGCCUUCAUAGAACUUGCCACUAACUUAAUAGCUCCAGACCACCGAUCAAAGAACUGCAUGAUGUAGGGGUGACAGGUCGGGGAGACCAAACAGUAUAAACAAGAGUGACCAGACUUCUCUUGAGAAGAUACAGGAGACUAUGAUGCGGUGGAUUAUCCCAUCUUCCUGGUCACAGAGCAGGCAACGCUCUGGAUGUGGUAGUUCCCAUCGUGCUAGGCAGUCAGCAGUCCAACAUUGACUAUGGGCUACUAACCAGAGGAAGAAUUGGCUGUAAUGACCAUGACUAGUAUUGAUAAUAAGUAACCAUCAUCACGCAAACUCCAAAAGCCACAUACCAAGACAUGUAUCUGUAUCCGGUAUCCGGUACAUGGUGGAUACAUCACAGAUACAUAAGUAUUGGGAAAACAAAGAUUUUAAUUGCUGACACAUAUUCGGCACUUGCUUGGUGGAUACUUCAUGGAUAAAGCCCCGCCGCCUAGCCACAACCUAAAACUUAACGACAAUAAGACUAAGGGGCUGUUUGACACCGGUAACUAACUUUAGCCCUAUCACGUUGGAUGUCGGAUGCUAAUUAGGAGGACUAAAUAUGAAUUAAUUAUAAAACUAAUUGUAUAACCCCUAGGCUAAUUCGCGAGAUGAAUCUAUUAAGUCUAAUUAAUCCAUCAUUAGCAAAUAGUUACUGUAGCACCACAUUGUCAAAUCAUGGACUAAUUAGACUUAAUAAAUUUAUCUUACGAAUUAACCUCCGUCUGUGUAAUUAGUUUUAUAAUUAGACUAUAUUUAAUACUUCUAAUUAAUAUAUGAAAGUUAGCCCCUGUCAGGCAAACAGGUCCUAGCACAGCACGUCUUGGAACUCACGUAAGCCAGACCAAACCACCGCACGCUUCCCCUUACUACUGCUGGGUGACCCCUACCGCCUCACGUAAGCCAGACCAGACCACCGCACGCUUCCCCUUACUACUGCUGGGUGACCCCUACCGCCCCGACUCAUCAGUGAGUACAUCCGGUCAUCCCCAUUUAUUAAGACAGAGAACAAGUGCAAAUUCUUCGCUUGGGCAAUGAUACAAAUUUUUUUUCCCAAAGCAGGCAUUCUAAAUGUCAAGGGAUGGCCUCAUCAGCCGCAUUGCCCACUUUGGGCCUGUUUGUUUCCACCCUCCUAAAGUUUUAGCUCCUAAAAGUUUUUAGGCACCUCCUAAAAGUAUGUUUGGUUCCACCUCCUAAAAGUGACUAAAGGCAAUUAAUGAAGUGUAAAAUACCCAAGAUGCCCUUCCUCCAUGCCCCUGCAUGCCCCUCUACCGGCGCCGCACCGCCCCUCCGCCGGCGCUAGGCUCGUCUGUUGCCGGCCCCUGCACUGCCCCUCCGCCGACUCCGCCCCCUCCCUUCAAAUCCCAGCCGCCGCGCCCCUCCCCUCCUCUUCUUCCCCGGCACCGCCGCCCCCCUCCCGUUCCUCCCUCGCCCGGAUCCGGCGACGGGGGAUCUGGCGGGGGAGCGCCCGGCCGGCCCGUGCAGCGGCGCAAGGGAGCGGGGGCGGCGGGGGUAGGGGUGCCGUGCGGCGGCGGCGGGCGGCGGGAAGGACGCCGCUGGCGGGGGCCGAACGGGGGAAGACGCCGGUGGCGGGCGGAAUGCGGGGGCCUAGGCAGGAGGGAGGGUGAGAGAGAGAGAGGAGGACAAUAAAUGAGGGCAAUGGGGUUCAGGAUGGGCUUUAGGAGGUUUUAGGAGGGGUGGAGCUCCUAAAGAAAUUGAAGCCUCCUAAAAGUUUUUAGUCACUUUUAGUCAGUGUUUGGUUCUUUAGUCACUUUUUAAUCACUUUUUAGGAGCUAACAUUUUAGGAGGGUGGAAACAAAUAGACCUUUGCCGUAGCCGUCCAGAGACCAACUUUCGCUACUAUGCCCUUUCGCCAAAGUUUGUAUGGGAAACAGUAGCCAUGGCCCGAUGGGGGCCUUUGGUGAAUUUGAGACGCUUGGCUGUUUUGGCUCAUUAAAAUGAAAGCUUUGGAAAAGAGAAAAAUGGCCUAAUCACAAGCUAAUUUUUUUAUUCAUACUAUGCUUUAGUAUUCGCAUUUCAAAAAAAUACCAAAACAUAUCUGUGUCUUGGAUAUUUCUGGAAAAUAGUGUAUCCGUGUAUCCAUAUCUUCGCUGCAUAGGAUGACAGUUUGCAUGAUAAUUUAAUGACGUCGGAUUUUAAAUAGCCCAGCUUGACUCACCUUCUGAAUAACUUGUAGAGGAUAUGGAAAGCUCCUGAUUCUUGUCCCUCUCCCCACUUGAGCUACCUAAAAUAUAAAAAAAAGGAAAGAAGAAUAAACAUAACUCAAACAAUGGAAUGCGCUAUCAAGAGCAUUAGCAGUAGAUUCUCAUACACAACCAUGUAUUUACAAUGAACCAAUUUCGACAAAACGUUAUUACUCGUGUGCGUGUAGGCACAAUUACGCGUGAAACAGAGGCCUAGUGCUUUGUUUAGGCCCUAGGCGGUAAAUUAAUAGCGCAAGCGGGCACAAGCACAGGCACACGUUCUGGAGAGGCGGGGAGAAAGAGUGCAGGAGACGUGGGGAGAAGAGUGCGGGGGCAUGGGCGAUGGAUAACCGAAAAGAGUUGCUCGGCGCACAGAAAGAAUUACGGUAAUGGCAUGGCUCGACGCGUCAGACGCUUAUCACUAAAAAUAUCUGGCACGGAUCCUACAAACACCUUCUCUCUUUCCACCUUAUCCUUUCUCUCCUACAAUUCUUCCUUAUCCUUUCAUCUAGGGAAAAAUCACCCGCACCACUCACUCUCUCUGCCGCGCAGUUCAUGCGAGCAUGGGCGCGCUGCGGGGCCGCGCCGGCAGGCAUGGGCGCGCGAGGCCAGCGACGGCAGCGGUGCGUGGUGGUGAGGCCAACGGCGGCACCUACUGGCGAUGCGGGCACAGGUUGCGGCGGCGGUCGGCAGGCGUGGGGCUGGGAAAGAAUCCAUGGUAGCUGCUAUCGUACUCUAGGAGGAGGAAGAUUCCACCGCGGCCAGGGGCGAGCCGCGCCGGCCGCCGCCAUCCUCCUCCUCCUCCACCACCGUUUCCUAGGAUCCUGGUGUGCAGUGCUUCUCGUGCCAGGGUUUGCUGCAUGUUGCAAGCGUAUGUUUCAAGUGUUUUAGAUGUUUCAGAAGAAUGUUGCAAGUGUUUCAUGUGGAUGUUGCAAAGUAGAUCUAGAUGUUGCGAUAUUGUACAUGUUUCACACACAUGUUGCAAGUGUUUUAUCUGAAUGUUGCAUUUUCAAUGAGAGAUUUAAAUGUUCCAUGCAACACGAAACAGAUGUUGCAGCGGGUUUUUUUCCUCAUCAUCAACAGAUGGCUAAUAAAUUUUUUUCAACAUAUUUUUUGAUAUUGCAAAUGGUGGUUUUAUAUGUUGCAAAUAUUUAUUUUUUAUGUUGUAGACAUUAUUUUUUGAUGUUGUGAUGGACCAACGGAGCGUCCGAUAGACAUCCGGGCACAAGCAACGCCCUCCAUCCCCUUGGUGACCCAGUGCGCCGCGCCGCCGACCCUGACGAGGCCGGCGCCGAGGCAGCAGCUCGCGCCGGGGACGGGGACGUCGCGCCACGCCGCGGCCCCCAGCGUGAACGCCUGCAGCACGUUGAAGCCCGCGGUCGCGUCGCCGCGGCACGGGAGGUGAAGGAUCUUGUACGCCCCCGUCGCCGGGUGGAACCCGAAGGUGUACCUCUUCCCGCUGCCGUAGCCGUGCAGCCCGCGGUACGAGACGGGGAGCGGCGGGACGCGCAGCGUCUCGCCGGUGGCCGGGUUCAGCAACGCGACCCUCCCGCCGGGCUUCCUGUUGUCGCACAGGCACAGCAGGCCGUUGCACGUGCCGACCGCCGUCACGUCGAUCCACCUCCCCGUGGCGGUGCCGGCGGUGACCCCCCACACCUCUCUGCCCCACCCGUGCUCGAGGUCGUUGACGACGUACGCUGAAGCUGACCUGGUGCUCGUGAAGAAGGCGAGCACCUUGGGCGGCGGGCUCCGCGGCGUCCGCUGGUCGAUGAUGUCGCGCCAGUGCCGGCAUACGAGCCGGGCCCAGCGCCGGCAGCUCGGCGGCAGGCGCAUCAGGAUCUCCACGAAGGCGUCCGUAUGGAGGCUCAAGCCCUCAUCCACUUCGCCGUCGGUAGGCGGCGCCGUCGCCAUUGGCAACGCAUGCACCUUGCAGUUUGCACGGCCUCACUUUUGUGUUUUCUCUCCCGUUUCGCUUAGCCGAGAUAUGUUAGCCGGAGCAAACUUGAGGGCCAAGGAGGCAAAUAAGGAACUCACUCCCCAAGAUCAGGGAUGCCGGGUUGCUAGGAACAAACUCUGAUUCAAGGUCAAAAUUCCAAAUUUAGAAAACGUGCGUAGCGUACGCGUUCCGUCGGUAGGAGUAUACGAUUGUUACGAUAUCAGGGAAACCGUGGGCGCCACCAAAGUGUAAGUUCUUCAGCUGGCUGGCGAUCCAGGACAGAAUAUGGACAGCGGACCUGUUGCAACAUCGGGGAUGGCCAAGCAAUCCAAAUUGUGCUCUCUGUGAAGCAACUCAAGAGACGGGGCUGCAUAUGUUCACCGAAUGCAAUUACACAAGGAAUGUUUGGACUCAACUAAGUGCGUGGACGAGGUGCCCGGCAAUAGACCCGGAAUGCUGGACUCCACAUGACGCCCUGCAUGACUGGUGGACUGCAUUAGCAGGCGCGCAGGUCGUUGACAAAAAAAGGCUUGAGAUCUCUCAUCAUCUUAGUAUUGUGGGAGGUUUGGAAAGAGCGCAAUGCGCGGGUUUUCCAUCAUCAGGAACAAUCCAUCCCCCGCUUAGUGGCCCGGAUAAGGGACGAGGCAACCACGUGGGUGGCGGCAGGUGCUAAGCACCUGGAGCGGUUUCUUGACGCCGCAAGGCGUAAUUGAGUGUAUAUAGGGGUGUCUGUUCCUUUAUUUCUCCAGCCCGCGAGGUAAGUUUGCAGUGUGCAGCAUGUAAAGUUUUCUAGUUUGUUUCGUCCUUCGGGCAUUCUCCUUUAUUAAUAAAGUGGCAGCUCUACUGCCAACUCGUUUCAAACCAGCCCGCUGGUGGACGGUUUGCUUGGGCCUAACUGGUUUCCGUUGUUUGUGGAGGGACUGGUUGAGUGGUUUAGUUGGGACGGUUCUACCGUUCGAAUGGUUUAGAAGUUUACAGCUGGGCCUGGCCGUCAGCGCCGACAGGCCGGCGCCGGCAAAGACCGAGGUCUGGGUCCUCGGGGACGGCGGAGGCGGCCGGCGGGGGUGGACCCGCCGGUACAGCGUGCGGGUGCAGGGGGUGGAGGGGCAGCUCGCGGCGCCGCACUUUGCGCACGGCGGCGAGUACGUGCUGACCGUGCAGUCGACGGAGUGGGGGCGGAAUCACUUGCACGCGCACAGGAUGCGUGACGCGGGGAGGAGGUUGCAGAGCGGCGACCGGCGAGGUGCGGUCCGUGCGGAUCAGGGAGCCAGGAACGGCGGUGGCCCACAUCAAGGACGCCUACUGCCUUCGGACGUUCGCCUACGUCGAGACCACGGAGCCGUUGAGUGUUUACACGACAGAUCACAGACGAAGGGUCCAUCGACAAAUGAAAUCGUGUCGUUGAUGUUUGCUUUAAAAAAAAAAUCUUUCCUGCGGUUUAUUCGGUGGUUCGAGACUUUGAUUUGCUGGUGGUGACAGCAGCGAAUUGUUCGAUUUUAAAUUUUAAAUUGCUCCGUUUUAAAUUUGCUGGAAGUAAAGCUUUCUGAAACCGCACGCUGAAUCAAUGUCCGUUUUGGGUUGGUGCGGUGCGCCAAUGCCGGUUUCCAAAAUAGACGUAACGCUGAUCCAUCGUCUUCCUCGCUUCUACAAAUGGUGAGCCGCUAUCCUUCGGCGAUGGCACAGCUAACGCAGGUAGCAACUGUGCAGAGCGCUGCCCUGCUGGUAGAUCGUGCACUGCUCCCAGUACCGCGGCAAUGGCGAACGGUUCGUCGACCUGCUGCCUCCUCGUCCUCGCCGUCGCGCACGCCGCGGCGGCGGCGGCGGCGGCGGCCACAACGGGCGCCCCGGCGCCAGAGGCGCCUGCGCGCGCGCGCCGGCUCUUGCCCCUCGGCUCCAGCCUGCCGCCCGCGACAGCAGAAGCCGGCGCGGCCGCGGCCGCCUGCGUGCAGUCCGUCCUGGAGGCGUCCGGGCCCUGCGCGCGCGACGUCCUCGAGACGCUCGUCUUCAAGACCGCGCGCCUCAGCACGGACUGCUGCCGGGUGCUCGCCGGGGUCGGCGAGGAGUGCGUCGCCGCGGUGUUCUCCGGCGCCUCCGUGGGCCCCCCGCUGCUUCCCGUCGUCAACCGCGUCUGCGGCUUGGUCGCCCUCGCCAGCAAUGGAUAGCUAGCUAGCUAGCGGAGUUAACAGGACUGAAGAAUGUAGUACCGCUACCACCGUAUCAACGGUCUAUGUGUGACAGAUCCAAGCAUAAUGCGUAUUUAGUUGCAUGCACUACAUGAUACAUGUAUAGAUAAUUUUGGAUGGUGCGGUUCAAACAAUUUACUUUGAAUGUGUUGGUAAAAUUUAUUCAACCGAACAAAAAAAUCAUAUUAUUUUAAAUCAUUUCAUACAUGAAUUAAAUGAUCCAAACAACCAACCAAACACAUCCAUAUUGUAUUGUGUCGUUUUGAUUUAGAGGGUGAUAAACUAAUUUACACCUCGGUAGCUUGAACAAAAGAGAUGUUAUUUUUCAGCCACCAAGGACGUGAUUGGUUGGUUGGCAACCUGCCUAUUCAAUUCCAUCCUUCAUCCGAGUUGCACAGCUACGUAGACGUUCCAUUAGCCUGUUCGCUUCAGCUUAUAAGCCAGCUGAAACGGCUGAUUUGUUGUGAGAGAAAAAUACUAUUUGGUGGCUGAUAAGCCGGCUGAAUAAGCUGAAGCGAACAUGCCGCAUGUCACCAGGCUACAUGUAAAACCAUAGUAAAUGUCAUACAUGCUCUUCAUUCUACUUAACCCCUCUUCCCCGCGGGUCCUGAUUUUUGAAGCCGCCGCCGCCGGUGGUAUCCCCUGGCGUGGGCACCCUGCUCUUAGGGCCUUAGGGGUUUGAUGCUCGUACUUAAAUCACACGGAUCCUCCACAUCUGCGCAUUGCAAGGACCUCCUUCCUGCAUGCAUAUAGACCAGCUGCAAGCCAAUCUUAGAUAAACCAUGACGGCAUGUAAUCCCUGUCGUAACCACCCUGCCUUUUGUGUGCUCGCCGAGCAGCCGCUCGAGCUAUUAAAAACAAGUGAAUUCAACUUGGAAUCAUUAAACGAAUUAUAGAAAGGAAUCAAUUUGAAUACCAAUAAAACUCUCAAAUUCCAAAUAUGGGAAAAAUUGAUGCCUAACCUCCAUCUCUACAUGCAUGCGGUCGGAUUUUCUCACCACCAUGUGUUCUUCCUUCCCUACCUAGCAUCGAUCUGUUCUUGUGACAGCCAGCGCAAGCCAUCGGCGCUCUCCAUUUUGGAGGCGGAUGGACUAGCUACGAUGGAGGCGGAAGGGGAAAUGAAAGGAGAGCUGGCUGCACGUGAAAACGAGAAGCUCGUUUAAGUGGUGGACCCAUAAGUUAAAAGGGCAAAGGGCAGUAUGGACUUUUAACAUGUGUAACAAAACCCUAACACGCGACCAAAUGACGUGAAAUGCCAACGUAUCUGUCUAGCUCGGACGAAGGACGAAAUUGACUAAACAGGUAAAGUUGAUGAACUAAAUUGAACAUACCUAUAAGCAAAAAUUUAGAGAUGAUUACGCCUAUUUUACCUAUAACAAACUCUACAUGGAAUCAGAGCGGUCAAAGUGCCGAGCUAUAAUUCAUUUAUGAAUCCACGUGGCCAUGCAUUAUGCCACUCAUCAAACAAACAAAUAAGAGAUUAACAGUUACCCUCACCGUCUAUUCGCAGUUCUUAUUACGGUUCCUGAUUAAAAAUGAAUGCGUUUGAGGGGUUUUCUCCGAAUGCAGUGUACUGAAACAUUUAAAAAAGUCGGGUGGAGCAUACACCGUGCACGUGUCUUUGCGCGACACGCAAGCCGCGCACCCACCGGCGACCAUUCCGCCGCUGCGCUGUGCAACAUUUCGCGAAAGGCGAGUCGUUAAUUAAAGUCGAAAAAUAUAAUCCGGACAGCGACGCCCAUCCCUUUCCCCCAACCAAAGCCAAAGCCUCCACCUCUCCUCCCUUCCCCUUCCCCCCGCAUCGGCGGAGAACCAGGCCACCUCCCCCCCACCCCAAUCCUCCACUCCCCCCACUCCCCCAAUCCCCCCCCCCCCCCCCCCCCCCCCCCCCCCCCCCCCCCCCCCCCCCCCGAAACCCUAGCAAUGGAGCCCAAAUCCACCACCCCGCCCCCCGUCAUGGGAGCGCCCGUCGCGUACCCUCCGCCGCCCGCCGCCGCGUACCCCGCGGGCCCCUACGCCCACGCGCCGGCGGCCGCGCUCUACCCUCCGCCGCCGCCGCCUCCCCCGCCCCACCCCGCCGCCGCAUCCGCCGCGGCGGGACAGCUGGGCCCCGCGGCGCAGCAGCAGCUGCAGAUCUUCUGGAACGAGCAGUACCGCGAGAUCGAGGCCACCACCGACUUCAAGAACCACAACCUGCCCCUGGCGCGCAUCAAGAAGAUCAUGAAGGCCGACGAGGACGUCCGCAUGAUCGCCGCCGAGGCGCCCGUCGUCUUCGCCCGCGCCUGCGAGAUGUUCAUCCUCGAGCUCACCCACCGCGGCUGGGCGCACGCCGAGGAGAACAAGCGCCGCACGCUGCAGAAGUCCGACAUCGCCGCCGCCGUCGCGCGCACCGAGGUCUUCGACUUCCUCGUCGACAUCGUGCCGAGGGACGAGGCCAAGGACGCCGAGGCCGCCGCGGCUGCCGGCAUGGGGGCGGGGAUCCCGCACCCCGGCGCCGGCAUGCCCGCCACCGACCCCAUGGGCUACUACUACGUCCAGCCGCAGUAAAACCAUUGCCCAUCCCGUAUCUUUUACUAGUAGCUUCGAUCGAGCCUUGCGAGUUUUAGUAAAUUAUUGAGAGUGCGCUGAGCUCUGCUGUUUCCCUUGUUCUGUUGUUUGCCGCCUAAUAACUCUAAGAUGGCGUGAUGAUCAUCUGAUGUGCCCCCUCUUGAGUACAAGUAGUGAUAUUCGAUUCAGAUUUGGGAGAGGGAACUGGUUGUAGUUGGGAGAGGGAGGCUGUAUGAUGGUGAUGAUUCAUGCGUGACAGAUACUCCUUCCAUAUUUAUUAAUCGUGUGCUACUCCCUGAUUAUUGUGAUGCUUCAUCUUGUCCAUCUCAGACUGCCAUGAAAUGUUUGUAUUACUAUAAAUUCCUGAAGCUAUAGUUGUGUUAUGUCAUUAUGUUCUUUAGAUUUGCUUGUUUGUCAAUUGCAGCCCAGAAGAGUUCUGUGUAAUUUGGAGCUCUGUCUGUACAGGUUUAAAUACUUUUCCAUUUUCUGUGCAUUAGUCAAUCCUUUGGUUUGUGUAUAAUGAAUAUCAUGCUUUCCCUUGGAGUAAUUUCAGGGUGGUGGUGUUUUACCAAAUUUUCAGAAUGUGGUUGUAUAUACUGUUUCUCCUGGGAAUAGUUUCAGGCCAACUCUUUGCCAAAUUUCCAGAGUAUGGACGGGUUGCAAUUUUCUGUAUGAUGCAAUAACCCCUGCACUUUGUGGUAGCUAUGCUCACGAAAGUUAACUUGCAGCAGACGUGUGUGCGUGCCCGAGCAUUUCACUUUGCGAUACAAACUUCUGACAUUUCCUAUUGCUGUUUUCUACUUACUUUAAAGUUGCUGUCUCUCUGAAUCUAGAGGGGACUUGAAUGAAAUAAACUUAUGGCCUUUUUCUGGAAAACAGACUACUGGACCCUGAUAAUUUAUCUGGAUAACCGUUCCUUGUAUAGCCAAUAGCCGCUUAGUAAAACAUUUUCAUACAGAAUUCUGCAAGCUCUGCAUAUCCAUGGUUUACUUGACUCCUGUAUUACUGUGAGAUUGUGAAUAUAUGCUGCUAUACUGGACUUGGGGAGCAGAAAUGGGGUCUCUUCAAUUUUAUUUUGCUUAAGUUGGCUCGAUGUAUUUUAUUUUUAUUAUGCUGAAAUGUGACCAUCUUAAGCUAAGUAUUUGCUGCAAACACACGCGAUCGUUUUAGUUGCUUCUUAAUGGAAUAAUCAUGAUUAGCACUAAUAUUCCACCGUUCACGUGGUACCUCUCACUUUCAGAGCUGAAAAUCUAAUUGAUCGUACUCUCAGCUUGUCUAACAACUAUCAGAGCAUCGAAAUCGUAAUUUCAAGAUUCUUGUCUACGGGUAGACUAGAUAAAAAUCGAUGCUCGCCUUAAAUCCAGGUAUUUGGUUGCUGAUGCUCCAUUGAUUUGUUGGAAACAUGGAAUGCUGGUUUGCAGCAAAAUUUGGUGUGCCACUGCUGGAGGACGAUGAAAUGACCUGCCGUCGUGGAAUUUCUGAAUCUAGAAAAGACUGGGUCAUGUUUGUCAUCAGGCCGGGGCUCAUAAGUCAUAGAAAGAUGACACCAGUCCCCAAAAGUGUUUUAGCGAAUUGAUCUGGAGCCGAUACAAUUUACGGUUUUAGGUGUGAGAACCCUGAUCACUUUUGCAAGGAGAAUCACUUUUGAAUGGGCUGAAAAUGCACAGAUUUUUCAUGCUAGAAGGCCCAAGAACAUACAACUCAAGCUCCAGCUACUGUAAAAAUUACCACAAAAGAAUGCGCCCUUCAAUCAUUUCAGGGCAGGGAAAAAGAAUUUACUACGAUGUUAAGCCUGUUAUUGCCUUGUAGCACUAUCUUCCUGGGCUCGGGGGUCUCUCUUUGCAAGGGAGCACAAGUAGUGAUCUGUCCCCGAUGCAGCGAUGAACACUCUGCAAUUUCCCUCUUCCGUUUUCCCAGAUCUGCUCAAGAAGCUGGCGUCCCUGCAAACAAGCAGGCAGAACUGCGUCCAUAAGAAGUUGGGACUCUUAACAUGUACGAUUCCAAUUUUUCUGUUACUGAAUUGCAGAAAACACGUCAUGCUAACUAAAAAGUUCUUGGUUCUGAAUUUUACUUAUUGGAUAUUUUGAUGUGAAAUUACCAUAAAUUUUACUUCAAAAUUUGACGAGGAAUUGAGCGAAAACGAAGUUAUAAGGGGAAGGGAAACUGGAAGGAACUGGGUAGGUUCAGAAUUCACCCCACAUUUUGGCGUUCAUUCUACGCGCACAGGAUGAACUUGCCGGAGGGCAACGCGGCGGCGGCGGCGGCAAGCAGGCAGGCGGUGACGACGUUCUGCUGGCACCACCGGAGCGGCGCCCAUGCUCCGGCGCCCUCGACGCUGGCGCACUUGGCCCUCGUCACCCCGUACUGCGGCUCCUUGGACAGGUCGAACGCCGCGCCCUUCAUGCGCAGCUCCUGCACGGCGCGCGCCAGCGCCCGCGCGUCGCCGCGCUCCCGGCGCAGCCGCGCGGCGGCGCGCCAGUAGGCGCACACCCGGAGCUGCACGGCCGCGGCGAGCGCGAGGGACGCCGCCAGGGACAGCGACGAUGGCGCCCACCACCUCCUGCACGCGGCGCUCGCCUGGCCGCCGCCGCCGUCGGCGGCGGCGGCGGCCACGGACGCGGCGAAGAGGAGCGCGAGGGAGAGGCCGUGGAAGGCGAGGAAGGCCGCGCAGAGGUAGAAUGCGUCCCGGCGCGCCGCGUCCAUGCGCGACUCCAGCGCGCACGCGCGGCGGCCCAGGCGGUCCUCCUCCCGCUGCCACAGCUUGAGCAGGAGCAGGUGGCCCGCGCUCGCCGCGAUCUCCCCGAGCGGGUGGGCCCCGCCUGCCUCCACCUCCGCCGUCGUCUUGUCGAGGGACGCGGCUGCCUCCGCCUCGCCCCCGUCGACGGAGACAGGGAUCUCCACGAUGUGGGCGUCGUUCUUGGCCGGCUCCGCCAUGGCAGCAAGGUUUCUUGUCCAAGAACGGGAUCUAUGUGGGGGGAGGAAACAGGGAAAGGGGCGGUCUCUUGGGGAAAGAUCUGAGUUCGAUGUGAGAUUGGAGUUGGGAAAGGGGAAGCGGAGAUGGCAAGAUGGGGUUGGAAGCACGCUGAUCUCUGGGUUGGGAGGAUUGGGCGCGGCGCCGGCGCGGCUUAAGGCCAAGCGGAUUGCGCUGCGUCCAACGGUCGGGUGGCCGAGCGCUUUUGGGAAGGAGGUAGGCAACGGUCAGAAUCAGAUCCUGUGCGGGCCUGGAAUUUUCGGCGGAUCGCAAGGGCCUGAGAAGUUGGGCCACAAAGUGCAGGACACAAGUCACUAUGGUCGGCCCAUAAUCAGAAGGUCCCAAACACGAGCGCAGGCCCAAAACUUCUACCAGAAACGCCGUCCACGGCGCAAUAUUCCCUUCCGUCCGAGUGUGACGUCGGGGAAAUCAAGAGCGCGUAAGCAUCCGAUGCGCUCGGCAUCCGCGGCGGAUAACUCCGGCGAGGCGGCGACAGCGCGAUUCUGCGGGCACGGCGGAUGUCACGCCCAAGAUUAUAUUCUCCGGCGGGCCUCCUCAAGUGCAUCGGCGCUCGGCAGCACCGGGCAUGUCGUGGCCGCUCUGUUAUCUGUCACCGUCACCCCUCCGGCUCCAUGGCAAACACCGCUGGCAAACCUUCGCGCAGGAGCCGAGCAACAAACGCAGGUGCUUCCCGGCCUCGCGAUCGUAUAUAAGUACCCGCCUGCCGCGCCGCCUUGUUCCCACGCAAGCACGGGAGACGCGGCUGCCUGACUCUGCUUCCGGUUCCAUGGCGCGCUUCGCUGCCGUUCUCCUCGCCGCCGCCGCCCUGCUAGCGGUAAUCACCGGAGAAUUCACUGGUCAACGCGCGUGUUUUAUUUCUCUUGAUGUAUAGUUCAAGCAUGUAACUAGAAAGAACGCGUUUACGUGUCUCUUCUCGGGUUCAGGCUGGACGGCUGAGCCAUGCGGCGCCGUCGACGGCCGAGGUGUUCUGGCGCGCCGUCCUGCCGGGCUCCGCCGUGCCGGACGCCGUUCUCCGGUUCCUCCGCCCCGGUCGGUUCUCCUCCCCCCUUCGUUAAUUUUUACCUGACCUCCAUCACACACGAAUGCAGUAUGCGCCUCUGAAGGGAAUGUGCAGUGCACGGUUCAUGGUCAUGGUGACAUGGUCUCUCAUGGAUGGUGCAGACAGCUUCGUAAGCAAAGCCGAGGCGGAGGACGCGGAUCGGUCAAACUCUCCGUUUGAUUACCAGAACUACGAGCGCUCAUCUGCACCGUACGGCUACGACUACAAGGCGCCGGACAAGGGCGCCGCGGGCGGCGGCGGCGCCAGAGACGACACGCCGUUCGGCUACGACUACAAGGCACCGAGCAAGGCCGCCGCGGACGGCGGUGGCUCCAGAGCCGACACGCCGUUCGGCUACGACUACAAGGCGCCCGGCGGGCACCGCCACGCAGGCGGCGACGCGCCGGCGUCGGCGACGACGACGGUGUUCUUCCACGAGGAGGCGGUGCGCGUGGGCGAGCGCCUGGCGUUCCGCUUCCCUGCCGCGUCGCCCGCGCCGCUCGGGCUCCUGCCGCGCCACAUCGCGGACGCCAUACCGUUCGCGGCGCCGUCGCUGCCGGCCGUCCUCGCGCUGCUCGGCGUCGCCCCGGGCUCCGCGCAGGCCGCCGCCAUGGCGAGGACGCUGCGCGCGUGCGAGACGCCGCCGCUCGCCGGGGAUCCCAAGUUCUGCGCCACGUCGCUGGAGGCGCUGGUCAAGGGCGCCGUGGCGGCGCUGGGCACGCGCGACGUCCGGGCGGUGACCUCCACUCUGCCCCGCGCCGGCGCGCCUCUGCAGCCGUACACCGUCCGCGCCGUGCGCCGCGUCGGCGGCGCCGGCUUCGUGGCGUGCCACGACGAGGCGUACCCGUACACCGUGUACCGGUGCCACGGCACCGGCCCGGCCAGGGCGUACAUGGUGGAGAUGGAGGGCACCCGCGGGGGCGCGGUCACCGUGGCCACCGUCUGCCACACCGACACGUCCCGGUGGAACCCGGAGCACGUCUCCUUCAAGCUCCUCGGCACCAAGCCCGGCGGCGCGCCGAUCUGCCACCUCAUGCCGUACGGGCACAUCAUCUGGGCCAAUAACGAGAAGCGCUCGCCGGCUUAAGGAGCGGAGCACCAUUCUGCCGUAGUAUUUCUGAUCGAUGCCGUAUCUAUUUUAUGUGUUGUUGUUCAUGCCACCUAGUCUGUCUGCUCUUGUACCUCUGCAGUUCGUGGUCAGUACUCACUACUCACUAGAGCAGCGUCUGCAAUAAAAGGACUGAUAGUGCUUUGCAUUUACACGAACACUUCGUGUUAAUCUACUGUUGAACCAAGGCCACAGUACCACACUAUGAUUGUCAUUUUCUGCAUAUAUUGGUAAACGUGUUAAGACUAGAGACAGACUGAAACUGAAUAGGUAAAGGUCAAGGAACUACAAAUGAUUGUUACAACUUAAAUAGAGAAUGGGAAACAUGGAUUAAUGUGAAAUUACAUAGCACCCAUGCCCAGAAAAUCCUGUAGUUGAUCUAGUGUAGCAAAGAUGGCAAUGUACCAUUAAGAGAUCAUCUCAAUCUGAAGAUCACGAAUACCAUCAGAACUCCAAUCGUAUUGAAACCCGAUCAAGAAGAGCGUACAAGCUACAGUACUAAGCAAUUUUCAGUAACUGUCCAAAACAUGCAGCAAGCCAGCAAACAUUCCAUUUCCACUCCAUUACAGUUUGUGGAACACACACAGGACGAAACAUAUCAUCAUUGCACCGAACCCUUACAAAGCCGGAUUGUAAUAUCUAGAUCUAAUGGAGCAGUUACAACUCAGAACAAUUGGAACUAAAAAAGGAUGCUGCAUUAAAUGGGGGAUACUGCACUCCAUCUACUUGAAACUGAAAACAUCUCUAGCUGUCAAAAUUCACCUCAAAUGGUAAACUGUGCAUCUCAGGGUGAACGACACGUGGCAUGCACACUUGUGUAUGGAUCUGAAGUCCGUGGAAUCCAUCAAUCAAUCUUUACUGAUGAGAAGAGGUAGUGCACGAAGGCGAAUGAUGUCAAAAAGCCAAUGGUUCCAGUUGCUAGCAUGAUCGCAAAUGCCAUGAGGAAUGAAUAGCCGACAUAAAGCAUUGCAGAGACAGGCCCGCUCAGGCUUCUGAGAUCAAAGACCAAGUAGUUGAUGGAGUAGAGGAACACGUAGAUAGCAACAGAACCUGGGGCGAAGAAAGCCUUCCACCACCACCUCCAGUCCUCCACACAGAGAUUCAUGUAUGUUAGGACAACGGAAACCUCAGCGCAGACAACGACAAGCAGCAGCAGGACAAUCAGCAGGAAGCCAAACACAUAGUAAAACCUUCCAAGCCAGAUGCUCGAUAGAAUGAAGAAGAGUUCAAUAAAAAGGGUUCCAAAUGGCAGCGUGCCUGCACCAAGGACAAGAAGCCAUGAUGGACACUUCCUCGCAGGGAUCUCUCUAGGGAUCUGAUUGGUUCUAACAGGGAACUCUAUUUGCUCCGCUCUUGUACCGAGAAAGCCACCAACAAGAGUCAAUGGCACGGAAAUGCAGAACCAUAGAGCCAGAAGAGUGAAAAACAGUGAGAUAGGUAAAGCCCCAGUGCUCCCGCUUUUCCACAACACAAAGUUUAAGACUGUCAGGACGGUAAACAUGACACCAGGGAAAAAGCAGGCAGUCAGCCAGGACACUGAUCUCCAACCUUCAGAUGUGCCCUUAAUAGUCCUCCAGAACCGAACACUGGCAUACCCAGCUGCAAUACCAAGGAAAAGAUAGAGAACAAUCAUCCCUGUAAGAAGCAUUCCUCUUGAGGCUGGAGACAUGAACCCAAGUGUGGCAAAAACUAUUGUUACGAUUGCCAUGCCCAAAAUCUGAACCCCAUCACCGAUCAUUAUGCAUAACAGCUUGGAGCAAGUUGGCUCUCUGAAUACAUCUCCAACUACAAGCUUCCACCCAGAUAAUUCCUCAUUCAUCUGUGCCUGUGCCUCCUUGUCGAGCUCUUCGUACCUGGUCAGGUCCCUCCUGACAGUUCUGAGGAAUAUGACAAAGACAAUUCCAGCCAAGAACAAGAUCACCAUGAGGGAGUUCAUUAUAGAGAACCAGUGGACCUUAGAACCAGCCUCCAUCUUCAGAUAAGCAUCCCACCUAGAUGGCCACUUGAUAUCACUCUUCACAAACUCGACGUCAUAAGUGAAUGUGAUCCUCUCUUGUUGCCUGAUCACUUGAGCCUUCUUAAGCUCCACAGGGCAGUCCACUGGGUCAAUGCUGUCGUACAUGUUAAGCUUAGAGAAAUCCUCAGCAUUACGCUUCACACUGCAAGGCACGACCUGAAAUCCAACAAUCUGAUAACCAGACAUCCCCUUCUUGUCUAUCUCUGAGAUGACACCAGAUCCUUCUUCUCCAGUGCCAAUGAUUUCCACAUUGUUGCCCUCAUACUCAUGGACCAAGACCUUAAACUUCAAAUGGUUGAUGAUAUAAUCCUCUGAGCUACCGGCUGGAGAGUAACCAACAGGGAAGCCAGUCCACUGUACUGUGACACCAUUCUGCUCAGUGAAACGCAUGACAGGCAGAUUGUCCAGCAUCAUGUUGACCUGGUAAAGAUCACGGGCACGUUGCUUAAGGAGCUUUGCAUCAUUCUCAUUAAGCCCUUUUGUGGUGCAGAGGAAGAUGGACUCGUUAACAUUCACAUGGAACCGGUAGGGCGAGUUGUCGAUCUGGUCACCCAUCAGAAGCUCACCCAGAUUCUCGGCACUCUUCUUGAUGCCACCCUGGGGGCGGCAGUAUGGAAGGCUAUAGUAGUUGAAAGGCAUCUCCGUCUCAAUGGAUGUGAGCGAGUUCACCUUGGCAGAUAUCAACUCACCUUGGGAGUAUGUGUGCAUGUAGCUGCCAGGCAGGUAGAAUGCAUUGCCUGGUGAGACGACCAGUAACAACACAACCCAUAACAGCGGAGCCAUAAAACAGGAACUGUGCAGCGCCCCAGCCAUGUGAAGCACAAAUUUGUCCAACACCUAGUACAUGUGUGAGCCGACCUGUAACCGACAAGAACUAAUGUUAUAUAGAUCAGAGGACUGUAUAUUAUCCCAAUAUCCAUGGCUCCUUAUGCGGCAUCGUUCGGACAGGACUAAACUGAAUUUAUAAUGCAAUUGCAGAAAUCUAAUACGUAAUUUUCUUGAGUAAGGUAUCGCAAAAACCCUCUUCUCCCAGAAAAAUCUAGAGCGUCCACAUUUUUCGCAAUGUUGAAACUGGGCUGGCUGUAUAAAACAUAAAGCCAAACUAGCACAGUAAUCCUUACGCACAAGAACAUGUGAAAUUAUGCAGUAACAUAUCCAAUAUCAUGUGAAUUAUGCAGUAGCAUAUCCAAUAGGCAUACAUGAUGAGGCACCUGUCAGGAGCAAGACCUUGCAAAACGUUGUGAGAAAACCUAACAAUGUAACUAUGCACUAAUUAGCCACCGAACGAACAGGCAUGCCAAUUUUUUAGUUCCUAACAGGCCCAAAACAGUAAAGUGUGCCACAAAUUGAGACACUCUGUGACUGCAAACCAGUAAGCAAGCAGGUAUAGCCCCACAUGCAGUGAACACCCUAGAACAAGUUCAACAGCCCAACGAAGACAGGCUAAUACAGGUGUAACCAACUAACCAUCACUCUGAAAUCUGAAGUAAACUUCCGCAGAAUCCUUACAAGUUCCAACACCAGAGCACAAGUUUCACAAGCUACCGACCCGCACGAACCCUGCACACCCGAACCGAACCACCAACCCACUCCCAGCAGGAACCCCCAGCGUACCGCGCGGCACGAACCAAGCAGCGCUGCUCAAUUUGGCCAGAAGCUCGAGGAUCUACCGAAACGAACUCGGAGAUCUAAAACGUGCAAGCGCGCGAGAGCCAAACCGGAAGAUUAAACCGCACCGCCGAGCAGCAGCUCCUACGCCCGGGCCCCCGAGAGGAAGAGGUAGCGGGCGGCGGACGCGCCGAGAAGGUUCUAGAAGGAAACGCGAGAAGGGGAGGAAGGUACCUGGCGCGCCGGGCGUGAGGAAGCGGGAGGUGGCGAGGAGGAGAUGGGCGUGGUGGCGUCGGAGGGGAAAGAGAGGUAGGGUGGAAGGGGAGGGGGUGUGGGCGUGUGGCGCAUCAAAAAAUCUUCUCGGCGAUGGGCCUGGGCCGGCUGGUGCAUCUGCUGCGGGUGGGUCCGAUUCUCGCGUGCUUUCGGUCUUUUUUGAAACUGUUUAAAUUUUGCUUACGAUCAAAUCGUCAAAAUAAGUUGAAAUUAGAGAAUUUUUUUUCAACUUUUCUGACCACGCUUUCUCCCCACCUCUUCCAUUAGUGCUAAAACGCAUAAUUUUUUUUAUUUUUUAUAUCUUAUUGGAGAAGCGCUUCUCGCCGUGACUUUUUCGUCUCGCUUGAUUGUUAAGCGGGGCAUAGGUGAAGUACGCCACGUUUUGCUAUUCCUAGGGCGGGCGACGCACAAUGAUGAGAUCUUGCUAAACUUGGGUGCCGAACCAGCGAACGCGACUCAGAAAAGUUACUAAAACCAAUCCAAGUUGUAGAUGCUCACAUGUUGAUGCGAACAGCAAGCAAUAGAAAACCGCGCGGUAGCCACGACGGUCGACUGAUUCAUUGAUCGUGCAUGGCCACAUCUCCAUGAAGGUUGAAGGGUCAGAAAGCCGGAGGCGGAGGGUCAGAAAUGAGAUUGCUGUGCUUUUCUCCUUCAGAAAGAAGAUGUUUGCCAGAAUCUAGUGUGCAGCGACGGUUGGGCGGCCUGCUGAAUGUUUCCGACUUGUGUAAGAAAGAACCUGGUAGCAAAUGUUACCACUAAAAGAUUUGCAGCUCAUUCAAACCUACAAACGUACAAGGUCAUACAGCAUUCUACUUCUCCCCCUCCCCCCUCGAACAACUUGUAGCCAUCGGACUCCUCGUCGGAGGAGAGGAACUCGGAUUCGGAUUCAUCGGAGCCAAUUUCAAUAUCGUAGUCGUCUUUUGUAUGAGCAAGGCUGAACCCGCUCAUCUCGUUCCUCCCAUCAUCCUCGUUGAUGAACUCCAGACCGUAUACCGCAUCUCUAUGCUUCACAACCAGCCAGCGAGCAGCCUGUCCUCCUUGUUCAGAUAGUGGAGUUCUUGCGUGAAAGUAGGUGGAACCAUCAUGGUCAUUUGCAUAAGCUGGCCCUGUAAAUGGGACAACAAUCUUUAAGACAUCUACACAUGACCAAAGAGGUUGGGUGGCCUGGGCAUUCUUGAUCUUGGUCGUUUCAAUCGCGCACUGCGGCUUCGAUGGUUGUGGUUCAAAUGGAAACAGCCUGACAAACCAUAUUCCGGAUUACCCAUAACUAUGACUGAAACUGAAAGGCAACUUUUCAAAACAUGCACCGAGAUCACUGUUGGAAAUGGGCAAAAAACAAACUUCUGGAAAGACAACUGGCUAAGAGGAAGAUCACCCAUGGAGAUAGCGCCGGUAUGCUUCAGACUUGCCUGGCGCAAGAACCAGUCAGUGGCAGUCGCACUGACAAACAAGCGUUGGAUGCGAGGCCUGAGACGCAUAAACACUGAAGAAGGUCUACUACAAUUCAUAGCACUCUGGACAGCGAUACAAGACUUCCAACUGACAGAGGAAGAUGAUCAGAUAAAAUGGAGAUUUACUGCCAAUGGAACUUAUUCAGUAUAAUCUGCUUAUCAGACACAAAUUCAUUGGAUCACAUUCAGACACCAAGUGGCAGUCCAUCUGGGAGGCUAAGGUGGAAAACAAAUGCAAAUUCUUCGCGUGGCUGUUACUGCAAUAUAAGCUGCCGACAUCGCAUCGGACAAGUUCACUGCCGCAGGAAGUCAAGGCAGACCAAUCUGUCAGCUAUGUAGAACGACGGCUGAAUCCAAUACCCACAUGAUCGCAAAAUGCAGUUGAUAUGGACCCGUAUCUUGACUUGGGUUGAUCUCCCACAGCCGCAAUGGGGAACUGAUCGAACCUUAAAAGAGGGAUGGCAAGAAUUGACAGAAGGAGGCCGUGGAAUAUCUAUUCAGAGAACACAAACUAUAAUCUACACAGCCUGGAACAUUUGGAAGGAACGUUGCCGCAGAGUAUUUGACAACAAAGCUCUAUCACCGGAACAACUGUUCAACAUCAUCAGGCAAGACAUUCAGGCAUACAGAAUGGCGCAGACCUUUAAAGAGUGAUCAAACAAGAAUUUGUUUCCUGUUGUAUGAAGGCACGCUAACAAUAUGGCUGCCGCCUUGUAAAUUAUUCCAUACAUGUAACUGGCACUCCCGCCAGUAAAUGUUUUCUCCUUUAUCAUUAAAUGGCAGCGCACCUGCCCGAGCUUUGCUCAAAAAAAAAAAGACAUCUACACAUGAGCAGGUUCACAUAAACGAAUCUGUGCUCAACAAAAGAAAUAAAUCUACGUAGAUAUCACUUUUCGCCAUCCAGGCAAUAUGUUCAAAAAAAAACUUGGCAAUGGUUUAAUAAGCUUCAUCGUUAGCAGGUAAUGACUGAAAGCAUUCAUUGCGCUCAUAUCAGCUGUUUAGCCAUUCUACAUUAUCUGCUCUGCUGUUCAGCAAAUCCUUAGCAGCUAAAGUCACAGCAGUGUCUAAGUUCACCCCUAAAGCAGCUAUAUAUUUUUAUUUCUGCUAGUAAAUCAGCUCAUCACAAUGUAACUCCAUUAAUCAUGAAGCACAAACACUAAUAAAUUUUAUUUAACAUGUCAACUCCAUUUAUCAGAACCAAUGAUUGUUAGAAGCAUUUUCGUUGCCUUUUUUUAGCCACAGUAUGUCAUAGGCAAUCCAUUUGCAAAUUAAGCAUCCUUUGCAGAAUUCAAAAACACGCAGGCCUGACAUUCUCUAAAGUUAUAACAGCGUAAUUUUCUUUCUAAUCAAAACUAGCAAAUCUGUCCCAGGCUCCCAGCCUUAUUAUUAAUCUAUUAAUAUAUGUGUGUUUAAAGAGAAUGACUCAAGCAUCACAGUCAAGUUUACCAGAGGACAACUGAGGAUUUCACUAUACAAAGCUCACAGGGACCAUGAAAAAAGUCAGAAAGUCAUACCGAUACUGCCACCCCAGACUCAACAGGCCAACAGUGCCUUGUUAAACUAAAAUCCAUCACGACUGCAUACAAGCUGGAAGCUACAGACACAACAUAUAAUGUCUAAAGGUCGAUGCAGCACAGCAAUGUUUACUCUUGACUUCUACAAGACACUAUAAGGUAAAACUCAACUGUUUAUCUCAAAUAAAUGCCUGAAUUCCGUGUUUUAAAACAUUAAACUCAUAAUAGUACUAAAUCUUCCAUAGUAAGAGGAUUGGAUGUGUUUACGCAUAAAUUGUCAAAACUAAAAUUAUAGUACUUGCUAACAAUUGGCUGAUCUAUCUUGUAGCUGCAGUUCUUUGUCUUUUGCUAUAGUAGUGGCCGCGGCAGGUUCUUUUGCUGAUUAACAUCUAUUGUAAGCUAGAGUCCCAAGCAGAAUCGGUUGUAACAAAACUCUACAUGCUUUCUAUAAAAUCAUAGAUACCUUUCUGGAAAACAAUCGUCUGAUCUUGGAAUGUUGAAUAGAAAGCUAUAAUGAACAACCCCACAGAGGAAGUGGACGAUGCGUUGAACUUGCUGUCGGUGCGCCUGGACGCGGCCGCACGCGCGCACCAGGGCGGCCAGAACGUCCCCGGCACCAAUGGCCAGGCUCCGCGCGUGGCUGAACCUGACGGCCGAGCCUCUCCCGUGGCAGAAACGGAGCAUGGUGGCUCACCUGCUGGCCUCUUCACCGCGCCACCAGGAGCCCAGGCCGACGGCCGCAUCAUCCACGCAACCGCUGCACCAGAGCACCAGAGCACCACGAGCAUCACCGGGGCUCUCUUCAUCAGGCCGGAGAGGCCACUUCACAGCAGCGCGCCGUCGCUGCAGGAACCGGCCCCGCCGGUACAGCCGGGGUCAACCAAGCGCCGCCGCUCACGCCGUGUCUUCGACGUGUCAACGGUACGUCGUAGUGCGCGCCUCUCCACUCUACGCCCAAUGCCGGCCAUGCAACGCGCGCAGCGCAACUUAUGUCGUAAACUCGGUCUCCUGAAUGAUGACCUGCAGCCCGUGGAGGCUGCAUUGCAGGAAUACCUCGCCAUGUUCCAGGGCCCUCUCCCGCAGCAUGUCAUCGCGGCGCUCAUGGCGACUUUCAACCUGGACGACGCGCACGCCGAAGCCCUAGACGAAGCCAUGGCAAUGGUGACCGGAGAAGCAAUUCAGGACAUCCAAAAAGCUGUCGACGCUUUACAGGAAGAUGUCCUGCAGGCGGCUGCUUAACAGUCACGCCUCUGUGUCGCUUAGUGUCUCCUACUCUGUUAUGUCAGUUGCAAGUUCAGAAAAUUUGUGCAGCACAUGCCGUCGCUGCAGUCUACUUUUCAUCAUCAGAGACUCCGUUUCAAUUUGGGUUGUAAUUUUAAUGCUACAGCUUCGUAAAGGCUGCGCUACAACUUCUGUGUCGUCGUUUCUUCUUUUAACUUCAGCGUUGCACCAACCUCCAGCGUUUGUGUUGUUCCAGCUAAUGGCUGCAUUACUUUUCUAUACGCCUGAGUGGGUUCUGGUACACUUGCACGAGCUAAUGGGGAAGAGGCAAGGCUCAGCCAGCAACCUUCCCCCACCCUUGACCAGGCUGCACUUACCGACGACCAGCAGCCGCACGAACGCCACAAUCACCAACGCUGCAAACGACGUCUCUCUGUCCAAACAUGACGCAAAUGAACAUUGAAAUCCUAUGCUGAGGGGGCUGAACAGUAGAGCGAGGAGAGACACAGUCCUAGAGACGAUCUCAGCCACCUUAUGCCACAUCCAUGCCUCCAAGAAACAAAACUUGCCGACAUCAACCAUUUCACAGCGGCAUAUUUGGGAGGACAUAGGCUCGAUAACUACUCCUACAAGCCAGCAAGGGGCAUUAGCGGAACGCGGGAAGGCAUUCUCCUGUUAUGGAACGCCAAUCAUGUCAAGCUGACAAACGUGGUAACAGGACAACAUCAUAUAACGGCGACAGUCACUUUGCAACAAACGUUAAAUACCUUUGUUCUGUCGGCAGUGUAGGUCCGACCAGAGCUAGCAGGAAAGCUGAAUUCCUCGCCGAGCUGCAAUCUAUAAAGCCACAGAACAAUUCCUGAUGGCUAGUCCUAGGUGACUUCAACCUCGUCUACAAAGCAAGCGACAAAAAUAACAACAGACUAAAUCGGCGACAAAUGAACAUGUUUAGAAAGGCCUUGGAUGCUUGUGAUCUCCGUGAGAUUCACCUUCAGAACAGAAAGUUCACAUGGAAUAAUGAGAGGAGAAACUCCACUAUGGUUAGGCUAGACAGAGUUUUGCCAAAUGAGCAAUGGGAGCAGGCUUUCAAUAACCAUAUGCUUCAAGCACUAUCCACCUCGCUCUCCGAUCAUUGUCCACUACUCCUUUCCAACCACGACGGCUCGAUACGACCAAAAUCAUUCAGCUUUGAAAACUACUGGACAAAGCUUCCAGGAUUCAGGGACACGGUCGCCCGAGCAUGGAAUGCUCCGUCAGCCCACGUUGAGCCUUUCCACAGACUCUAUCACAGGCUCCAUGACACAGCCGUCACUUUACGAGAAUGGUCCAACCGCCUGAUACCUGAUGCGAGAAUGGGGGAUGCAAACACGUGAUUUUUUCAUCGGCGGGUCAACGCAUGGCGCCGUGCAAAAUUCAUACAAAAAUUAAAGAAGGGCAUCGGCUGGGCAUGCACACAUGAAGAAAAAGCAACAGAGAUACAAAACUUCUUUAAACUCACCAUGCAACAGCCACAACCACGUCAGGCAGAUUUCAAUUGGGACACCCUGGGACUCAGCAGCCAUGACCUCUCCUCACUCGACUCGCCAUUCUCUGAAGAGGAAAUCAAAAGGGUCAUCGACAAAUUGCCAAGCGAUAAAGCCCCAGGACCGGACGGUUACACGGGCCUCUUCUUCAAGUCAUGAUGGGAAGUAAUCAAACAGGAUGUCAUGGGGCAAUAAAUGCCUUCUACUCACUUCGCUGCAACAAUCUCAGCCUCAUAAAUUCGGCUACAAUCAUUCUGCUGCCAAAGAAAGAGGGGGCUGACACGGUUCAGGACUUCAGGCCCAUUAGCUUGAUACACUCAUUCAUCAAAAUCAUCAUGAAAGCAUUGGCAUUAAGACUCCAACCAUACAUGAACUCCAUUGUUUCCACAUGCCAGAGCGCAUUCAUUAAGAAGAGGAGUAUUCAUGACAAUUUCAUGUCGGUACGCAACACGGCGCGACACUACCAUCGCAACAGAGAGCAAGCUAUCUUCCUUAAACUGGACAUUGCAAAGGCAUUCGACUCCAUUAGAUGGGAUUACUUGCUAUCACUAAUGCAAAGCCUUGGCUUCCUGGCGCGUUGGCGUGACUAGAUUGUGGCAAUAUUGUCAACCUCCUCAUCGAGGGUUCUACUAAAUGGGGUCCCAAACCCGCCUAUAAAGCAUGGCAGGGGUCUGCGACAAGGUGACCCCCUUUCGCCGCUUCUCUUCGUCAUAGCAAUCGACCCGCUGCAAAGAUUACUCCAACUAGCAAUGGAGAUGGGAAUUUUUACCAAACUCCGAGGACGUGGGCCUUCAUGCCGGAUAUCAUUGUACGCUGAUGACGCGGCUUUGUUCAUUGCGCCAAGAAAGGAGGAGAUAGAUGCACUAGUAGACAUCUUGAAUAUGUUCGGUGAGACGAUGGGGCUCAAAUCAAACUUCCAAAAAUCAACAGCACUGCCUAUUUGAUGCCAAGGGAUACCGCUAAUGGAAGUACUGUGAAAUUUGUCGGGCAAGCUCGGAACUUUCCCUACCAAAUAUCUGGGCUUAUAUCUACGUCACGAUUAAAAUCAAUCCACUUUCAGACUCUAGUGGACAAGACAGUUGGGAAACUUAGCAGUUGGAGCGCAAGAAACAUGACAACAGCUGGGAGAUUGAAACUUGUCAAAUCGGUGCUAACUGCCCAACCAGUGUACCUACUCACAGCUCUGAAUGCACCAAAGGAAAUCAUGAAGACAAUAGAUGCCAAGAGAAAGCAAUUUCUGUGGGCCAACAAUGAAAAUAUCACAGGUGGUAAAUGCAAAGUGAACUGGACGAGAUCUGCCAAACAUAGGAAAGGGGGCGGUCUAGGUGUGUUACACCUUGCCAAAUUCUCUAGAGCGCUACGCUUAUGCUAGUUAUGGCAACAAUGGAUUAAUGAGGGUGCAUCCUAGGAUGAUUGCGACGCCCCUUGCUUGCAAGCUGACCAUAAGCUCUUCGCGGCAAGCACGACGCUAACAAUUGGCGAUGGCAACAAAAUAUCCUUCUAGGACUAUGGAUGGAUCAAUGGUCAAAGGCCCAGGGACAUGGCACCUAACCUCUUCAACAUCUCAAAAGGGAAGAACAGAUCACUACGCGAAGCCAUCACGGAUAAUGCUUGGGUCACGGAUAUUGACCUCCGGCACCAGGGGUUCUCAGUGACAUACUUCAUUGAGCUUCAGAAUCUCUGGAACGCCGCAUCCUGCGUGCAACUCCAACCAGGAGUCCCGGACACUAUUCGAUGGAAAUUGACGGCAGAUGGACAACACACCACGCAAUCAGUAUACCGAGCGCAGUUCUUUGGAUCAACGAACACCAAUUUCGAGGCAAUUAUCUGGAAACCUGGGCACCACCGAAGUGCAAGUUCUUUGGCUGGUUGGCCGUUCAGGACAAAAUAUGGAUUGCGGAUCGGCUGCAGCGUCGGGGAUAGCCAUGCAAUCCACGUUGCGUCCUCUGCAAAGUGGCUCAUGAGACGGGGCUGCAUUUGUUCACUGAAUCCAGUUAUACAAGGAAUAUUUGGACCCAAUUGAGUACAUGAACCAGGUGCGAAGCCAUGGACCCGAGCUGCUGGACUCCACACGACACCCUGCAUGACUGGUGGACAACUUUAGCGGGUGUGCAGGUCGUUGAUGCAAAAGGAUUGAGAUCUCUUAUCAUUCUAGUGUUGUGGAAGAUAUGGAAGGAACGCAAUGCAUGGGUUUUCCAUUGUCAGGAACAAUCCCUCUCUCGAUUAGUGGCCAAGAUAAAAGACGAAGCAAACACGUGGGUGGCGCACGUGCUACACACCUGGAGCGGGUCCUUGACGCUGCGAGGCGUAGUUGAGUGUACAUAGGGGUGUCUGAUCAUUUUUUUCGGGUUUCAGCCGAGUCCACAGUGUAUAGCAUGUAAAGUUUUCUAUCUUAUUACGCCGUCGGGCAUUCCUCUUUAUUAAUAAAGCGGCUGGCUCGUUUCGAAAAAAAAUUAGAAAGCUAUAGCAUGCUAUAACUGAUUAAUCAGUAUCUCGUGACAAACUGUGAAGCGAUACUUAAACUUUUGGCCACAAUGUUGAUCUGAAUUAAAAAAUAUGCUGCAGCGAAACAAUGGUGUCAUUGUCUCGCAGCACGGAAAUGAAAAAGGAUACCAAAAGUGAAAGAGAAAAAUGGCAGAGAGAGAAUUACAAAGGAGAUGUAAUAUCCCAAACCUUUACUAAAUGAUAUUGAUAAUUAAAUUGAUGUGCCUAACUCAAAAGGCAAUAUACAGUUUUGGUAUACAGCACUGAAGGUCCAAAAUUAAAUUCCAAUUUCCGAAGCUGUUUAGUUGAUCCAUAGUUGAAAUGAUAUCCUGACAUGUAAGACAAUGCUUUUUGGAUACUGUUCUGAAUUUCCUAAGACCUAAUUCUUGUAUUGUAUGCAACAGUUAGUUUGUUCGCUUCCAAUUGAAGCAGAUCCAAGGUCAGGCCCUUUGUCUGAAAAAAGGCUUCCAGGCUGAGAAGCAUAGCUCUUAAUGCAAAGUAAAACCUAAGCAUACUUGGAACUGAUGGAUUAUUUAUCAUCUGCAAUAUUUGCACUUUGCACUAACGAUAACACUUCUGUCCUGCUAAGUGAAAGAUCUAAGUGUUGUUACUUGAUAAUCAGACCAACAGUAACUUGAUGUGGUCAUUUCCUUGCUAACAUAAAAAUGCCUUCACAGUGCACACAAAGAAAAAAAUUUCAUACGUUGCAACUCAAGAGUAGAUAUAGAUAGAAUUCGAAGUUAUCAAGACUAAACAACGACAGCCAAGCCUUUAGUCCAAAGCAAUUUGGUGGUUACCAAGACUUCUUCAGAGAAUAAAAUAUGUUAGUUGCUUAUGAUAUAACAUAAAUAAGUGGAAGAAUCAAACAACUCUUAGAUGUAAUAGCGAAUGUCAUAUUCUGUCAAUGUUGGAUACAGAACUUUGAAAUCUGUGUUGAAUGCUGAUUUCUAACAGUAUCAAGCAGCUUCACAAUAUUAAGCCUCUACAAAGAUUCUGAAGGAUUUUAAUAUUUCUUUUGAGUUUUGAUCUGCAAGGGUGCAGGUUAAAAAGGCCAUCACAAUAUAAACAGAUGUGUAACAACUAACAAAACCGUAACCUGUUAUUGCUAAAACAGUAGUUCAAGGGAUAAAUAAAGAACAAGCAAUAGGAUUCAUGGAAAACCUUCUUUUUCUUCACAGGUUUGAGGAUCUUAUUGAUGCAUUUCUCAUUGCUGUUGACACUGAUGCCCUCAAAUACUUCACUGUAUUUUCGUCUACCAACUUUGCUGAACACUUCAUGGUCAUCCUGCUCACUUAUCAAAGAGACAUGAUACUUGUCAUAAAUCCCAUAAUUUAAUAGGUACUGACCAUUGGACCUUGUUAGUAAGCCAAGAUUAUUGAACCUGAAACCAACAUGCAUCACAUGUCACCUCAGACCCAGAGUACCAUAUCAACCUUUGAAACUAUAAAAUAUUCUUCUUCUAGCCUAAAAUACCGCAUCAGGUAUUUUAAACUCUAAAAGAGUACUCGUCCAUCCUAAAGCCUAAAAAAUAGCAUCUAAAACAGUACUCGUCCAUCCUAAAGCCUAAAAAAUGGCAUCUAAAACAGUACUCAUCCAUCCUAAAGCCUAAAAAAUAGCAUCUCGUUAGGCGAUCAUCUUUUGAGACUGUAAAAUACUUUUUUUUACCCAUCCAUCCUAAAGCCUAAAAAAUAGCAUCUAAAAGAGUAUUCGUCCAUCCUAAAGCCUAAAAAAUAGCAUCUCAUUAGGCGAUCAUCUUUUGAGGAUGUAAAAUACUUUUUUUUACCGAAAUCAGCAAGGGAAGCCCUUACCUAAUUUUUUAUAAUUUUUUUUUAUUCCAGACCUGUUUAAUUCGCUUCCACGGGGAGUUGAACCCGAGCUUGCUGAGUGCUACUCAGGUGCUCUAAUCACUAGGCUAGAGGCCCUUUCACAAGACUGUAAAAUACUUCAAUACUUACUUUUUCAUUUAGAACAUAGGAACAAAAAUAGUGAAAUAUAGCAGAUUUCGGGAACAAAAACAAUGCCAUGUAUCCCACAAACUUCAGGAACAAAGACAACAUAACGUGUUGGGAGUGAGCUGGAGGCGGGCAUGUAGGAUGCAUCAGCUCAAAACAAAAACACAGGUUAGACAUGUGAGUUUCAGAGCAAUGUGCCAUGGUUUUUGUCCCUUUCAUUUAGUUAAGAGGUAUGUGACCAUGACCAUGUGUCCCUUUCAACAGUUUUAGAGCAAUGUGACCUUGACCAUUUGUUUUCUGCACCUCUUGAUAGUUUUAUUAGGCCCUAAGCCAAUUGCUCGCUAGAACAUGUAUUUAAAAAAAAGGACAUCCAGCAUGGAUUGACCAGCAUAAGGUCUGGCCCUACCAUCCGGAGAGUAACUGAAAACUACUUCUAAGGAGCCGCCAAUGUCUUAGACCCUUGAUAUGUACAUUCUUUGUCCUUGAUGUAAUCAACUCCGCGUGCUUUCGCAGAUCCACGAGCAAAACUAAAAUUUCAACAAAAUACAAUCUCAGAUUUGUAAAAGAAGUUGUCGAUUGAGAUGAAAAUCAAGAUUAGUACAAUAUUGAAAAAGUUAUGCUUUUACUCCAUGGUUGAUCUUAGCAAUGGGAGUUAUAUAUAAUCAACCAACGAGUUCAAAUAUAUUGCAAGUCAUACAAAAGAAUCAAUUUAUACAAAACAGAUUUACUAACAAUGUUAACUACAGAUAUAAUCUUACUCUUGUGAGAAAAUUUUAGAUUAAUCAUCGAGUGAAUCUUAUGUCAAAUUAGACUAGUGAUGCAUUUCUAAAAGUUCCAACACUAUCUUUUGAGAAAUCAGCGUCCCGAACUACCGACUUUUUAGAAGUGGCACCAAAGUAAUGUGCUACCACUUUUUUUUAAACCCUUACCCACACUACUUCGAAAAGAACUUCGCAUUAACACGAAUGCGGGAGACCAACUCUCUACAAGGGUACCCAAAUCUUUUAUUCACCUAAUCACAACUUGAUACAACACUCACUCUUAAACUCUUUAUGUGCCUACCCUACCAAGACAUCAUUACACUACAUGGCAACCUUGUCAUCUCUUCACCUAUGGCUCACAUGCCACUCUAGCCAUGGUAUGGCUAGGAGGGAGGGAAGCACCUCUAUUUAUAGGUGCUCAUGAUCAUUGUGGUGUUGCCAUGUGGUAACUUCCACACUCUUCCAUACAAAAUAUCCUAACUCUAGAACCCUUCUCAUUCUUAUCUAGUUUCUUAUAUUUCUACCAUGCUAAUAUAUCUAGUUCUAGAGUAUUCUACACUUCACCAUGAAGCAUGGCAACUAUGGCUCAUGCAUUCUCUUCAAUUUUCUAGAACCUUCUUACCUUGCCAUGAUCUUAUCCUUAUACAUGGCAAAGUUAGUCUCUUGAGAUCUCCACGAUCUUCAAGAAUAUUCUAAGUAUGUAUUGCAUAUUUCAACACUAUCUAAUCCUAGAAGUAUUUGAGAAUAACAAAUAAACUAAAUGCCCCCAAAAUCAAACUCGGCAUUCACCAAGCAGACACAGAACUCAGGCACAAACAGAAUAAAAAUGCAAAUACGAGUGUGUUACUCACCUAACUAUGGGGAUGAGAAGAGGUCGGUAGGGUGGUGCCGCUGCACCGGGCACCAGAUGCACAGAGCGGAUCGACGAGUGGAACGGGGGGGAGGGGGGUGGCGGAGCGAGGCGCGGCAGGGAGCACCUCCACGUCAGGUCCAACCCCGCGCGGCCCCAGUGGAAGACUGGAUGGAUGGGAGCGGCCACGGCAGCGGGAGGGGGGCAUGGAGCGGCGGGGAUGAAGUCGGCGUACAGCUGCUGCAGGAGCCCUGGAAGGGACGGUGCAGGAAGGACAACUCUAAAGCUAGUGCGGCCCCAGCAGAUGACCUGCUGGAACGUGGCGGCAGGGAUGGCAGGCGGCGAUGCCACCAGCAUCUCUGCCGCAGUGAGUCCAGCCGAAGGUAGUGGGAAAUCCUCCUGCAGCAGAGAUAAACCAAUGAGAAAAAUAAAAAGGAAAAAUAAAAAAAUUAUCAGUAAAACAAGUGAUCUAGCAGUAGAACUAAUUGUAUCACCUCCAUAUCAGCAUCCCCCAGAGUGAAUACGCCUACUCCCCAAAUGACGAUGAGCAACACAUCGCCCACAACCACAAGCCUCCACGCGGCGAACGGUGCGCGGCACUCCUACAACGCAAGCACGAGCAGAGAUGCGCGCAGGUGCACGCCGCUCCUCCUCACACCCGAUGCUGUAGUGAUGAUCUGCCAAGUCUCUGGGAGUGAGGUGGGAUCAUCAGGGAUCAAAAUGUGCGCGUGCCACCUGAACUCCUCGACAGUGGACUUGAUCGCGGUGUAGAUGGACUCCACAGCCUUGCACAUCAACAAAAUGCGAGCUGAUCAGGCCGCGAUAAGAUCGAACGCUACAACAGCAUCCGAUCUCACGAACGUUUUGCCGCAAUGCUCUACCAUGCGCGCCCCUCGGCAAACUGUGCAGCAACAUGUUACGAACCCUGCGCUCGCACAAUUGAUCCCUGCCGCGCUCUACUAUGCCCCCAGUGACAUGUUACGAACCCUAAGUUGACUGAAUUGAUUAGCGCCACGCGCUACUCUACGCACCGCGACGACAUGCUGCUACGAACUACAGACUCCCCGCCGCACUGUGGCGUCGCCCAGCCUUCCACGCGACUUUCUGACAAUGCAAAACCCAACCCCUCGUGAUCCUUCAACGCGACGCGAUGCACCGUCGAGCAAACUCCAGCAAUGAAUCUCGCGGCUAAACAGAUUUGUCACCAAAUGUUAUAGAGAAUUGCUACGAAACCCUUCUCAACAAAUCCAUCCACGAUGUUCCCACCCACGAGUUCAGCAAGCAAAAACCCUAAACGCUUUCAUCUUCUCCCAACUACGGUGCGACAUUGAGAGAAGGGGAGAAAGAGGCGCUGAUAAUUUUACUAAUCCGGUCGGUGAUCAGAAGCUUCACCACCAUGGUUGCGAGUCCCUGGACGACGCUCGGAGAUGAGAGAAUGGAUGGAGGGUGUAACGUGCGUAGGGAGUGGAAAUGAAAAGGAAAGGGAGGAAUUCAAAUUCUGUUGGCGCAGAGAUAAACUAUGUUUAUAGACCACCGGGGCACACGGCCGACACGAGUCGAAAUCCCCACAGCUUGGAAAGCUGGAGGGAGUCAGGUACCAUGCGGUUUGGUUUCCCGCUAGGCUUCAUGCGAUGCACGGUAGUUCACCAACAAGCACACCAGCCCGAUUCGGCCCAGCCCAAGCAUCCCUUUGACCCUUCAGCCUCUGCAACACGAUGACCUCAAAGUGUGAAGCGCUCGAGCCACGUGCACGGCCCUCGAGAGUGUGCUUCAUCGAGGAGAUUGCUGGCGGGCGGGACGAUCGCUCGUAGUAUAUACGUGUCAUGUCGGUUACUUAAUUGUGUACAUUCACCAUGUACUCGGAACCCAUCCCGUGGAUGUACGCCUGAUGAUGUGCUGUGGCCAAGAGGUUGUGGCUGUGGAGCCACAUGGUUCGUCACGUUUGGUGCCAGCCGCCAGGAAGCUUAGUGUACGUGCACCUAGUCGGGUGCACUACACGCCCACACACAACGUACACCCUCUCUUGUGUGUCACGUCGCCAAACACUUAUGCAACUUACAACCCUGACAACCAUAAGGGAGCCACAUGAUCGGUGAUUAGGGAUCCGUCAGCGUCGGAUGUCAUGGGGAAUGCGCUCAAACGGCCGGUUGUCUCCGUCGCCCCGGAUGGACUUUUCACCCUCGAUGACUCUGGGCAUGCCGCCGCUUUGCCAAUGAGGCGCAUGGUUGUGCACCAUGAGUCCACGGCGCGAGAUCCCGCAGCUCGGCACGAUCCUGAGCCUUUCCUGGGCGACUCGCUCAGGCGCCUUCCGCGUUCCAGCGGCGUCGGGCCUCCACGACGUGAAGGCCAAGCGUUGCCGGUCGAGGCGAUGAGGAUGCGUCGCCGCCGCCCGCCUACGAACACCCACCCACGGAACGCUUCCUUCGUGACUAGGUUGCAACAUUAUCCAGUGAAGUAAUGCAGUGCAUCAAAUAUUUGUCGAAGGAUAUAUUGGAGUAGCUUAAGGAUUUGAAUUAUGACUUGGAUCACAUAUGUUAUAAAAUCCUAAACUACUGGUUCAAAUAUGGAUGUGCUCAGCUAGAAUGCAAUGUUGAAGCCCUCAAGUUGACAUCGAUUAAGUAUGGCAUGAGUGAAGACAUACAAGCUCAAGUGGUUGAAAUGUUGUUUAUAUUUAUUCUUAAGGACAGGAAUAACCUGUGACCGGUAACAACGCAACCCUACCAUACUACUGCUGUCGGAGAAGCAAGCUGUAUGCAUGGCUACUGUUGGGCUGACGCACCUAGGAGAAAAAAAAGAUAAUAUUUACUUUAAAUCGCUAUAACUUUUGAAUGGGGUGUCCGUUUCAAAUUCCAUUUGUACCAUUGCGCUCUACGUGACGAGGCGAACAAAACUAGACCGCACUUGCAUAUGUUUUGAAGACCUUUUUAUAUUAGUAGCAACUUAUGUGUAAAGGUGUUAUUAAAGAUUAUCAAUGGAGUUGCUAUCGUGUAUAUAUUAAAAUUGCUAUCGUAGGAAUAUAUUGAAGUUGCUACAUGGUAUGCACAUUAGGUACUAUCGUAGAGGUCAUAAAUUGCUAUAAAAAUAUACUAAGAUUGUCACGUGAUAUGCACAUAAAUUGAUAUCAUAUAAUAUGUAUCAAUUAUGUAAACAUGUAACAACUUAUGUGCAUAUAGUAUUAUAACUUAUGGUAGUAACUUAUGUAGAGACAACGUGGUGACUUAUUUAGAUACUUUACUCUUCAGUAGGUAAAAUAAUAUGAAGGUGAAAAAUAUUUGUGUAGCAAUUUAUGUACACAGUUUAUUGAGAGAUUUACACAUAAUUUGUUGCACACUUAAUAUAUAAGUAGCUACCACACACUUAGUAUAAGUUGCUAGUAAAUAAAAAAUAUUUCAAAAUAUAUCAAUCAUGGGUGUUGUUUCAUAGAUCUCAAUAUGAAAGAUACAGUGAUGCAAACGGAAUUGAAAAUAGAUACUAUGCAAGGAAGUUAUUUAGAAGUGGAAAAAAAACGGGCCAUGGUAACCCACCUCCCCUUGGCUGCGGCAGUCGCACUCUUGCAUGUUAGCGCGACUCCUCAUCGGAUAGGCUUCCUAUUCUUAAGUUCUACAACAUUGGUUGAUUGGUAAAAAUCAAAAGUGCUCGUAGUUGUGACCCACAACAUGCGACAUAUGUACACGGACUGUUUUCAACGUAGGGCCCAAAAAUGGAUUGUAUCUUGGGCCCAUGAAGAAUAUUGGGCCGAUGCUGUAACUAAGGCCCAAGCAUUCAUUCGAAGGCCGGAACUUUCGAUGGGCUCAAAGCUCUAAGAUGGACCAGGGCAGCUUUUGUUAGGCCCAUUUUGAGCAGCGCGAAUCAGUCCAAGACAUCAAAGCAGCAAACGCAGUAGAUGUGUCAUGUAGAUCCUCCCUCCUUCAAAUCAAGGCCUCCUCUACGUUGUAGGAGUAGGAGCGUAGGAGCUCCAUUACCGGAUCCUCCGUGAAAGUGACCACGUGAACAGUGCCGGCUCGCGUUGCUUACGGCCGCCGUAACCCUCAAAACUCCCCACCCGCCCGCCAGCGCGCCCGCGCGCGUGACGAAUUUACGCCCGCCGCGCCGAUGGCCAACAGGCCAAGCAAAGCAGGCAGGCGGGGCCGCGCGCACGUUCCCCCCCUCCGCUCCGGCGCCACCGGUGGAACCGUGGACGCAUUCACUCCUCCGGACGACGAGCCCAACAGUGCGCGGCACGGGAUCCGACGCACCGGCGCCAUCCUCCCCCCCGCGCGCGUCGGCCACGACGACGCCGGCCGGGGCCAGGCAGGCCUGUGCAUACGUAUUCAUUGAUCGUGCAGCAUGGCCGCUUGAGCCAGGCGUAGUAAAUGGCUCUACAUUCCUGCUGCAGGCGGCGAAGGUGAAAGUGAAACUGGAACCUCUCUGACGCGACGUAACCUCGUCGAGCACGAGCACGAGCAGCAGCAGCCAGGAAUUAACCGCCCGCGGGCUUCAAUUCAUGCCUGCUGCUUCGGAGAAUGAAUCGAGCAUUUUUACUCGUGUACUUUGUUACCUUUUGCAUGGGAUGGAUCAUGGCUGGCUGCCUGGCUCCGGUCCGCGGCCCUGUGCGCGCUGCGCUGCGCCGGGGGCUUUCAAUUCGCGGGCAGAAGGAACGUAAGCCUACAGUGAUCAGAGUUAACGCGCUGGCGCGCUGCGCACUUGGGGUUGAUCCGGCGCGGCGCGGGGGCUGUGGCGCUGUGCCCGUGUGCGUCAGCGCGCGGGCCGCGGAGUGGGCAGCGCGGGGGCGGGGCAACCGGCCAAGCGGCGCCACAGGAAUCCCUCGCCCUCUCUCUCGCCAGCAGCGCGUCCGCGGCGUCCUGUGCGGUGCCCAUCACCCAGCCGCGCCGCGCGCGGCCCCUGCGCGCUGUCGCGUCGCGUCGCUAGCUGCGCGGGCGGGCAGCGGCACAUGCUGACAUGCACGCCCCGCCUCCCGGUACGGCGCGCCGCGCGGGCGUCGAACCGGGCCGGGCGCUCUCGGCAGCUGGCUUCGUCAGGGUCGGCUGGGACUGGGCGGGAGAUGGCCGGUGCCGCGGGCUCGCGGCAUCCGAUGCCCCGGCCCGGCCGUGGAAACGACCUUUGGCAGGGAUGCCUACUAUGCUAGCGGAAGCAGCGCCUGCGCUGUACGUAGGUCGUUUUGCAUCUUUCUGGUCAAUGGCCCGUUGAACGCCGGACCCGUGACACGACCGGCGAAUGGCGCGUCUCGCCUACGACGGUGCCGCAGCCUUUCCGUUGCGUCCCGUCUGCGUGGCGUACCAACGGGUUCCCUAGUCUGACAAGUGGUGCGCCUAAUAACAGACACAUCGCCAGAUUGGCUGACUGGGAGAGCGCCCAGCGCCAGCACUGGCUAGUAUGUCCCGUAGCCACAGAGCUGCUCCGCCGUGGGAAUUUUACCAAGUGCUCCGUUUCCACUCUGUCAAAAACUGUCAUCCGGAGUUCCAGACUGAAGUGGCAUGGUCCUAGCACUACCUGAAUUCCGUUUUUCAAAACAAAAUACACCACGGAAAUACAGUCCGGAAGUACGCAUACACCCGGCCAGCCGCAUUGAUGGCGAGAGGUUGUGCAGGGGGGCGGGCGCCGGCCCGGCCAGCCCCAACGCCGUACCGGCCAGCCGCCUCACGUGCCCGCCGCGGUACCACACGCCCCCCAUGUUGGCCUUGGCCUCUUGGCAUCAAUGGCGCCGCGGUACCACACGCCUGGACGCUACCCCACUCCCACGUCGCAGGAGGCCCUCCCCACCUCCACCUCCACGCAACGCCACAGCUCUCCUCGCCGCGCGGCAUCUCCACAGUUCUGUAGGUGUAGGGCACUCGCUCGGUCACUCCGGCUCGGCUCCAUCCCCACAAAGGCAGCCCGGCCGCCCGGCAGCUAGUCCAUUACUGCACCUGCUCCGGUUCGUUAGAUUUCGUUCCUAUUGUUCCCACCGCGCCGCGCGCGUACGUACGGCCGCCCGAUCCGUGGCGCAUCAUGACAAUCUAGCUCGUGAAAGCAGUCUCGCUGGGCUCGCGGCGCCAGUGAUCCUGGACCAAUUACGAGGCCAUCAUCAUCAUAAUCCGGCCUGCCGCCGGGGCCGCACGCCUCCAUCUGCCCCGUGCGCGUGCGAGCCAAAGUGCCAAACCGCUAGAAAUUACGAGGUAAUCAUGGCGCCGGCCGCAGCAUGCCCUACACCGGUGGCUGUGGCUGCCCGGUGUGGGGCGCCGGCGGCAGGGAAGGAGCAGCACGCGCGCGCGAGCGGCCUGGCCUUGCGCGUCCCUUUUACGGCCUGGCCUUUGCUACGCGAGGGUGUCUCGGCUCGAAUUUACGGGGGCGGGUGGGGAGCCGGGCCCCGCCGCUCCGGCGCGCUCUUUUUUGGCAGCGGCGCAGCGGAGCUGGCGGCAAAAGGGCAUCACGAGGCGGCGCCUAUGCAUCUCAGGGAGAGGCCGCCGACGCAGAGGGCCAGGCCAGGGACAGGGAGGCCUCGCCAAGUUGCCCUGUUCGGGCACAGCACGGGAGUCGUCGGCUUCUCCUGCCAGCAGCGACCGAGCCGGCGAGGUGUCCGUCCGUCGUGUUACUGUUACUGUGUUGUUAGGCCCUGACACUUUGCGAAGCGGCGGUGUCGCAGCUGUCGACUGUAGACGGAGCAAUACUGCAAGACGCGACGCUGAUCGACAGGAAACGCGACGCUGCACGACGUACAGGCUAGCUCGCGGCGAGGCGUGCAUCGAUCAGCCGUCAGCGAGAGGUGCGACGACGCUCCAUACUAUACUGUUACCGGAGUACACGACAGACGACACUACAGCAGCGGCGUCUCGUACGUUCGGAGAGCAGACGAGCAGAGAGACUGUGGACGAGAGCUCUCUCUGCGUGUGCAGGAAAGAGAAUGGGGCAGCGAGAGCCGAGCACCCCUGAUGGCUGAGGCCCUCCUGAUCAAAGCGCACACGGGCACCAACGCGAUGCGCCGUGGCCCAAGGCCAGCUUGGCAACGGCGACGGCCCUGCUGGCUGCUGCAAAGCUGUGUCGCAUCCGUGCAGAGCUCUCUCGCUCGCUUGGCCGCUCGUCUACACCCGUAGAUCGGAGCUGAGCGGUAGAGCCGUAGAGGCCAGGCUCGCCGAUCGACCCGUGCUGCAGGCAGAGAGGGGGCAGCCCGUGAGAAGACAAGCAAAAGGCACGCGCGCGAGAACGAAACGCAGCAGUGGACGCAUCCGCCGAUCGGGCUCCGCCCCGCCCGUGGACGAUGGACACAUCCGUGUCAAUCUCCUGUUCACUUACCCCGUCUCCCUGCGCUACUUUUGUACGUAUGCCACGUACAGGCCAGGCCACUUUGUACGUAUUUUCGCGGCUCGCAGUCUCGGUGUGUGUUACAGUUCGCGGGGUGGGAAUCACGAGGCGGCUGAUGGGAGUUACGAGCGCUGAUGACCUGACUGUCUGACUAGUUGGCUGGCUGACCGGCUCGCUGAACCGUGCAAUGCUUUUGUGGGGCAAAAGGAGGGCAGCGUUCCCUUGGUCCUAUGCGCGUGUCGUUUACACGAGACCGUGCCGGCAAAAAGAUGCACCGGCUCGGAGCCUCGGAGGGUUAAAAAGCGGAGGGGGUGCCUCUGACCGACUGACCCUCUGUUUCGUCGUCCAUGCUUUGAUGAGCAUUUGGACCAGGUUUUGUAUGUCCAACAUGUUUGGUCUAAUCAGUCGUGUCGGUUUUAGACCGGUCUUAGGUUUUUCUUUGGCGCUUGCAGGUACAGAUCGAACAUGGUUCAUCAUGGAAACCUUGGUUGGUCAACGUUUGCAACUUUUCUCUUUAUUCUUGUGAGCAUUCGUUUAUUGAGACAAUUCAUUCAUUCCAGAAGGCCCCUAAAGUUGGCCAUGGUACCAUAAGAAGUACUCCCUCCAUCCAUUUUUCUAGGGCGGAUGCUCUCGUACUCCAGAGACCAUGGCAGCGUUGGGGGCUUGCGCCAGCGUUUAAGCCAUACAUCGAUUUCCUUGCUGCGUUAAGCCACGUCGGGGAUUUUUGCAUGACCGCAUGCAGCGUCGCUUCGUUCCCGUGACCAAGGCUAUUUUGACGGGUACCGAGGGGACGGGCUGGCGAGAUACCGAGGGCGACGGGGCCGUUCCAAGGGCUGCGCACUACAAAUGUAGAGAAGUUGAUUUUCGUCAUCCGCCCUAGAAAAAUGGAUGGAGUACGUGUGGCAGCAAGGGGCGCACAUGUAAUUUGGUGCGUACAAUUUUGCGGGGCCAAUUUCUCACGAUGUACCGGUACAUAGCUUAAUAUACCAAGAAAAUAAAUCCGCUAAUGCCAGGAUUGUGUAGAUACAAUAUGCUAUGGAAUCUUUAUUGAACUAUAGUAUGGACACACGCAUUCACAUACAUGCACUUGCACUCAGCUCCCAUAAACGCCCACUGGUAUACAGGCAAAUUUUAAAAUUUAUAAAGUCACAUCAACAUCGGAUGCAUCACUUACCACUAAAAAAUAGUUGGUGGAAAUACAAACACCAAUUAAUACUAAGUUAGAAACUUGAAUCUGGGCAAGCACCCUUCAUAAAAAAAAACAUAAUUAAUUGAGUGAUGUUCAUAUAUUUGCAGACACAUUAGUUAUUAUAAGUGCAUGUUUGUUUUCACGUUUUAAUUUCUAAAAUCUAAAAAAAAUAGAUUGUAAUCUUAUCUCCAUCCAGCAUGUAUACAUUAUAAAAGAAAACUCAUGCAAUUGCCAUCAUAAGAAAAAUUAAAAAAAAUAGACAGAUGGGUUCAAAAUCCUCUUCAACCUUUGACCAAGCUCCAAUCCUUCUAACCUCUCACUCAUGGCGUGAAAAAUCGAGACAGCUCUACUGUAGGGGCUUGAGCCCCCACCAAUGAUUGCCAUAUGUGUCACUACUCCAUUCAUACUCCCCCCUCCCCUCCCUCCACACUCCACCAAAACUUCGAUUAUAUUCAAUUCAGUCGAAAACGAUGAUAGUUGGAUAACCCUAGCACAUUUGUCUAAGUUUCCACCAGAGUGGCAAGCAUCCUCCGAAGGAGGUGCCCCCAGCUCGUCGAUGCGCCUUCCAGAUGACCCGCAAGGCACCACGUGAGUGUCGCCCAAUUUUUUUGUUGUUAACCUUUCAUCGACCUAGCCACAUCAUUCUAAAGUCCGUUGGCGGCCACAAAGCUUCAUUGAACAAGUUCUCAUCAUCGAGGAAGGCGAAGUCGUCUCUAGCAAAGAAUACAAAUCCACCAAACCACUAGUUAUGCUGAAUCGUUGAAUCUCCUCGUGAACACUCCUACACCGCACACGUCUUCGUCAUAUGAUUCGAAAUAUAAGUCCAUGUAGCUAUUUUUCCUGGAUACAAUAAGCACUUACUCCAUAUCUUCUCCUACUUAAAUAAAAGCAACAAGUGAUUGAUGGUAAGAACAUUACACCAAAUUAGCCAAUACUACUUGGGAUCAAACAUCGAAGGAAGUAGGAUUUUCUAAAAAAAAAUGUAUAUAAACUUGAACUUUGAUCGUCGGCAGGUCAAAUCGGGCACCAUAUCGACCUCUCAUGUGUAGCACCAUGAAUGUCUGCAUUACAAUCACCGUUUGGGUGUAUUCUCCAUUUGCAAGAGGCCUGAAUUUUGUCUAAUACUCCUGUUACACAAAUAAAAGAAAAGAGAAACACACUCAUAUCAUAUGAUUUCAUAAUCAUCCGCGCGGUGGUAUACUGGUACUGUUCAUAUUAUUUGCGAAGGCACCGACACCAACCACCGUACCACAGAACACUCAUGCUCCUACUCAAAUUACCACCCGGCAUCAUUAUUGCCGAACCUUCUCAAAUCACACAUGGCACACCCCGCACACACCCAAGGACCCAACCCAACGAACCCAAUCGCCCGGCGACCACAUGAGAUGACCCCCCCCCCCCCCCCCCCCCCCACCCCCCACCCCCCCGAUUGGAUGGUGAGGCCAACCCCAGACCCAUUAUUAGCACCGUUAGAUCACCCCCGGUCCUUGGGCACGCCGGAUGCCGGAGCGCCCCUGAUCGACUGCUGUAGCAUGGUCGCCAUGGCCGAUGGUCCCGUGGUGCCGCUCGGUCACGCGCGCUGGAGCCUGGAGCGUGGGGGGUAUCGGAGAUCUUGUUCCCUUUGGCCGUGGUGUUACUGUUACGGCCGCGCGCGUCGGGACAAGACCGGGCGGGGACAAGCGGUUCCAGGCUUGGGGGAGAGUGAACACGCAGCAAGACGGCAAAUUAGCAAAAGGCCCCGGUGGUCCGGUAGAAAAAACCACAGCAUGCGCCCAAGCGAUCCCGAUCGGAUUCGGCUCGACUCGACCUGCCCGUGGAUCGAUAACGGAAAAGCGCCGGAUCCCAGUUGUUGUGGCUGGUCCUCGGCCUGCGUUUUGACUGCACGGUCUUCAAAUGUUACCUUGCGCUGGCAUGGGUUGCGAUGGACGUGAUGUCAGGAGCCCGUGUUUACGCCGCUAAUCACCAGCGUUUUGGCCUCAUCCGGCGGCACCCCAUCAAUUAUUGUGCAGAUGUGCUGCUGCUGCUGCUGCUGGACUGCCGGUAACAAACUCUUUGUUGCGUACCGCUUGAAUGAAUGAAUUGAGAAACAUUAUUAAACGCGGGCGGGCGUACCGAACGAAUCUUGGCGACCACCGCGCCCGUGCGUGCGUGUUCCCCGAGCCGACGGUACAGGACCAAAACGCUCGUCUUGUUGCGUUGUUGCACCGUUGCACGGCACCGAGAAUCCCUGGCUGGCUUCCUGUGAGCUGGGAGACCGUGAUGUUCGUUUGGCUUUGGUACCCUGGCCGAGCCACGAUUUUGUCCCGGAUGCAGGGCAUGGGAAUGCGUCGAGAUGCCUUUUUCCGGCCGGCCCGAUAGAGCCGAGCACGUACGCCCCGUCCCGUCGCCAUCGUUGCCGGAUGCCCGGACGAUGGGACGUGCAAGUACGCCGUCCCUGGGGAGAACCGGUGCCAACCCCCCCCCCCCCCCCCCGCGCGCGCGCGCGCGGUGAGCGAGCAUGUUGCUCGCGGCGGCAUUGAUGGUCCGUGAUGACAAGUUGGCUCCCGUGUUGGCCCUCUUUGAUCGAUCGGUGAUCCACGCCACACCACACGGGCGCUGCCAUCAUUUCUCGCAAGGCAAGUGCACGCGCCAAGUUGCCUCUGGACUCUGGACGCAUGCAUGGAUCAGGCACAGCAUCGAGCUACGAUUCGACGAACCUGAACGGGACGCGGUCGCCGCCGACCCGGAACCGGAGAUCUCCAUUCUGAACAGGGUUGCUACUAGAUCUGUCGCCGUGGAGCCGGCGUGCACGUGUUUAUUGUUUCGCCGGCCACGAGGAGCGCGCAGGGGAGAGGUGGAUACGUGUCUCGGCAGCGGCACAUGGGGCUGGCCGCGCCGUCUCGAUCGUCCACCGCCGCGGGCCGGACCGGCGGCAAGGUAACAUGCGGCCGGCCGGGGCAGACGCUAGAAUACACCACUGGUUCUACAGGACACAUGUGCUAAUUAAAGAUUAAUUAGAUUUAAUAGAUUCUUCUCACGAAUUAACCCUUAUUUAUGCAAAUUAUUUUUGUUGUUAGAUUAUAUUUAAUACUUCUAAUUAGCAUCAAACAUCCUAUUUAACCCGAGCUAAAUUUUAGUUCAGAAUCAAACAUCUUCAUGCACGUCUGGUCCGUCCCCUACGGCUACAGCCUACAUGCAGGGCAGAGGGCAGUAGCCACGUUCCCGGGUUCAUUGUUCAGUCACCCACGUCCACGGUCCACGCCACGCCGCUCCGGCCGUCCGGGGGCUCCAACAGUGUGGCAAGUGGCAACACGAACGCUCGUACCGUCGUCACCAGCCGGUCACCAGCGUAGGUACAAGAAUACUUUUAUCACCGACUCUCUCGCCUCGCCGCCGUUGAAAGGAUUUCCCGUCUACGGCCGCCAUGAUUGUGCACGAGACGAAGACGAAGCUGGACAUUGCCUCCUCUCGUCUGGUCACGCUCAAGGAAGUCACUAUGGACAUGAUAAACAAAACAAACAAACGAAGGUAAGAUCAAAUCAGAGCACGAAGGAAGCUCGGCUUCGCUGCCGUGCCGAGAGGAGGAGGGAUCGAGCUGUCUGUCUCGUGAAGCUGAAAGAAGCACGGCAGCGGCUGGCCUGCUGGCCUUUUUGCACGCCCGAUGCGGAGCCGUCAGGCGUCCAGCCCAUGAUUCGCGAAAUGUUGCCGCGGCGGAGCGGCGCAUGGGUUGGAGCCACGGUCCAUGGACCGGCCGGCUGCCGCAGUGACGCCGCGCCGCUGCCCAGCUCCACUGGCGAGUGCGCCGCGUCCAUGGCAGCAAUGGGCCAGCGAAACCACGCGAGGUGGCCAGGUGGGGAAGGUGCCUGACUGCCUGCGACGUCUGCGCAGCAAGGCGAAGCUUGCUGCUUUUACCUGCCCGGCCGGCUACCAGGCUGCCAGAGGCCCAGAGGUGGAGCACGAGAGAGACGAACGGAGCUGCUCCGUGAGCACGGUCCAUGGACGCGUACGGGGAGGUUAGGCUGGCAGCUGGCACGAGCCGCGGCUAGGGAGGCGCGCCACGAAGGAGGCCUGGAGAACCGGACAGGACCGGACCUGCGCGCGCACCUAACUCCCCGUACGGUCCCGAGGCCGGACCGCAACGCGACAAUCCACCCCGUCCCAUCAUCCCGUCGACGCAAAAGCCCCCAAAUCUAAUCGCUGUCCGGUGCUAAUCAACGCGGCAUCUAACCUAAUCUAAUCCGAACCCAUCCGCAUCCCGCCCCCCACGCGCGAAACCUACGGCUCACCCCCAACGUGCUCUUUGGAUGGAAAUGGCCGCGGCGGCGCGCACCCACCCGCCGCUGCCGGCCUCUCUGUCUGGCCGGUGGUGGUGGUGCUGGAGGUCAGGAGGUGGCCAGGUGGGUGUUGGCUGCUGCUGGUGGCCGCCGAGUCCGCCUCGGAGACCACCACCGCGCCGAGCCGUCUCGUCUCGUCUCGUCCUCGCCAACCAGCACCAGCAUGGCCGCUAGUGCCGGUCCAACUGACGCGCACAGCAUCACAGAGAGGGCUGAACACGGACGCUCUUUGACGACCUAAUGAUGCUGUUCCUUCUGCUUUUCCAUGCUCUUGGUACCACAAGUCCACAACCUCGCAACCUUUCUCGAUCUCCUGCUGUUAAACCAUGCGUUUUGUUCUCGCUUGCAUGCGCAUCCCGGCAUACGAGCGCGGCGUUUUCUCGUAGCCCCUGCUUCCACUUCCGUCCACCCGCGGUCCCGUGCCUCUUGCCUUGCCUCCUCCAAUUUUGGCAAAAAGAGGAAAUCACAGAGAAGAAAAGACCUUUCCUGUGAUGAAGACGUCAGAUUAAUUGCCACUUUGCCGUGGCACUGUACUGUUAUCCCUGGGAGUCUAGCAUUUCGCCUCCUACUUUGCUGCAAUGCAAUGGCCAUGACCGUGCAGAUGGUAGGAGCUGGUGGUGCGCGAGGACUGUCUCGUGCCGGCCUGCGAAAACGAGAGGUGGCGCUACUGGUCGCUGUUGCGCUUGCGCCACCUAACAAAGGCACAGAGGCCGGAUAGCUCGCACGGAGCUCUCCUUCACCUACCUGCAGCGACGCACGCUCUUGACAUUCUCUGGUUUUCCUUUUUCCUUAAUUUCUGUUUUUUUAAUAAAAUAAUUUCUGGUUUCUAGCUUUAUAAGACAUGGUAUAACUUGGUACAGUCUUCUAAAUAACACUUUGACCAUUCAUUUUAUCUUAUCUUAUAUUGUUUAUAUUGUUUAUGUUUAUAAACUUGUAAUCAUUGUAAGAGUAUAUUUGAUUACAAAUCUAACCAUAUAAAGUUUACAUUAUAAAAAUAAAAAAUUAAUAGUUAAAUUAUUGGUUAAAGAUUACAAAUUUUAACGUUUAUAAAUCAAAACGGAGGGAGUACUUUUUUUUUUAAAAAAAUAAUCUGUAUUUUAUUUGUGAUCAGACCGUAUAGUACAUUCUGCUGACAACAAUAGCUUCGUACUCUAGGUCUCUAGCACAUACAAGCGACAAUAAGACGCAAGAUGGCCGGAUCACAUGACAUCACUGUUGUCCACCGGCUAAUAUUGUGAGACGGUGAUUAGCACUGGCCUCCUGAGCUGUAGCGCCAUGAUGGUGGUGCGGCUGCUUCAACUUUGCGGCAUGGCUCAUCAAAGUGGCCGGCGACGGCCGCCGGUCUAAUUGCCACCUGAAUCGCCAUGUGGGGAACGAACCUUCUCGAGACAAAUUUUAUUUCGGAAAAGCGCUAAAGUCGCUUCUUUUUGUAAUAUUUGUUAAUUGGCCUUCUCUCCUAAGGAAGAGUUUUAGAUCCACUCCUUUUACUUUUUUGAAUAAAGAAAAGGAAGAGGUUUUGGAUCCACUUCAUGCCAUGGUGGAUUGAGCAUUGGGCACUAGAACACAUCGACAUACUGAUGAACCAUGCAAUACCUUACAUUUACAGUCCUCGAUGUCAUGAAAACAUAUAUUAGCUUUGAAAACAUAUAUUAGCUUUGAUUUCUUCGUCGGGUGUUACCAUCAAAAAAAGUCACCCGGUGGACGGUGGCAAUGUGAUAACCAUAGUGGUCACACAAAAGGAUGCUAAGUUUCUCAUCAACAAUGCUAUCUGUAUUUGGGGAGCCUGGGAAAAAUCACUAUCACCUUAUCACAACUUUGCGCAAAAGUAACAUAUUUGUAUUAUGGAUCCCAUCGGCUCGAAAAACUUUAUAAAUAAGUCGGUAGUAUUUGUGGGAGUUUUAGUUACUCGCUUUAUUUGAUUUUCGAAUUUACACAUCUCCCAAAUGUGAAUAGCAAGUGUUAUAAUGUUGUGCAAUAGGACUUGUAAAAUAUCGCCAGUAGUUCAUUUCAAGGAACGCAUUUCGCCAUAAACUCAUGCUUGCGGGAUCACCAUAUUUAGACCCCUUCUCGUUUUGGAUUAUGACAUGCACAUCAGCUAGCUCAAUUACAUUACACUAAUAAAUUUUGGUAGUUGGAGAAAAUGAGUUAUGUUUAGACCCUGUUUAGCUGAGCUAGGCUCCUUUGUUUGGAUUAUUAUGAGUUUGCUGACCUCUUCUUGCCUUCUCACUGCUAGUCAAAAUACUCCCUCCGUUCAAAAAUGAUACGCGUAUUUUGACCCAAAAAAAUUCAAACUUUGCAAAUUUUAACUAAUAAUUAGUUAAAUUAUAAGCAUAUUUAGUAUAAAAAUUUGCAUCAAUAUAUUUAUACUCGAAGACUUUUUGAGAUGAUAGAGUCUUUAGCAAUUGACAUUGUAUUAUAAGAGAAAUUAAAAGCUAAAAAUCUACUUUGAAAUAUGUUUUCCUAUUUCAAAUACAUCUAUUACUUCAAAGAGGGAGUAUGUGAAGAUUUAGGCAUUGUCAUGGUCUAUAUGGUACGGUGUGCACCAUUUUUAUGCUACAUUAUAAAAUUUUAAGCACGGAUGACUAAACUUUUCCAUGAUAAACCUUCGGGGGGAACAUUUAUCUCACAUUGUUGAUCUUUACAAUUUUUUAAUAUACUAUAGCAUUUUUUUAAAAAAGUUCCCUUGCAUUUUUUUGAAAAAGUUUAAGCUUAAACGAUAAAUUUUAAAUAUGGCAGUAUAUUUUGCAUAGAACUUUGUGUCUCUCCGUUGGUUUAUCUUAAAUUUCGUCAUAUUGGAUUCCAAUAUAUGAAGCGGAUGCCAUCCAUAAACCAACAUAAAACUACUACUCCUACUCCUAUAGUAACGCGCAUGAUCAAAGUGAUUAACAACCAAAAUAAACCCGAUAGACGGUUACCAGUUGGGCAUGGAUGUAUCCACAGGAAUUGCAGCAACCGUUCAAAGCCCUUAAUUGCAAGCUCCUAUUGGUACAAGAUUUUCGCAUGAAUCUUGAUGGCAUUAAACACCGGAAUGGGGCUCUAGUCUAUCCUCCCGAUCCCAAAAGGGCGCGGAGAUAUAUCUGAAGAAGAAACAAUCCAGGUCCACCUCAUCUGCCGGAAAGCGAACGCGCCACGUUUUCAGGCGAUAAAAAUCAUUCCUUCGGCCCAUCUCUCUCACGGAGGACGGAGGAGUACCCAUCUCUCCGCAACAAAAGCAACGUCGUCUCGAUCGUCUACGGCUGUACGCGUAUGCAUGUACAUACAGGGUUUUGUACUGUGUAUCUGCGGAUAAAAAUACGGUUAUAUAGGAGCCGAGAGCCAGUGCCCACCUCCCCCUUCCAGUUACCAGCCGCAGAAGGAGCAAACUGAGAGGAGACACAGAGGCACAGGAGGAGAGAGGUGGGGGAGCAGGGGAGGAAAGAGAGAAAGCUCCAAUCUCUCGCCUGCCCUAGCUGCCGAGAUUCUUGAUUGAUUCCAAAACAAAAAAAUGUGAGUUUCUUGCUCUUCCGUGAGAGAUUUACCUUGUUUUGCUUUCGUCUUUCCAUGGUUCCUGGAUCUGUUUUGACCAACGAUUUACCGGAGGUGUUUCCGGGGUGGGAGUGGUGGUAGUAGCUUCGCCGUUGGUGUGUUUGUUUUCGGUUCUGGCGACGGAUUCGAGCUGUCAUGUCAGGCUUGAUCUUUCGUUUUUAUUCUCUCCGAGUUCCUGCGCCGAAAUAAAUGAGGGGGCGCUGCUGAUACAUGCUGUUUCUCUGGGUGGAAUUUAUGGCGACGCUGCUUUUAGUAGUAACCAAUGCAGGUUCUUCUUCAGGUCCUGGAAACUGCAAUCUUUUUUUGGCCCCGAGAUUUGGUCCUCUGCUCCGUUUCUUCCUGCUCAGAUCUGUGGCGCAGGGUUCGCCCUGCCGCGCUACCAAAUGCGCCUUCUUUUUUACGGCUGCUGCAGCGCACUGAUCAUUCCGAGUGUUUCUCCUGCAGCGGGUGGAGAUUGAAGAGUGGCCAUUGGAGCGCGACGUCUGAGCUGAGCUAUUGUGGAACGCAAAUUUGUCGACGAAGAUGUCAGGUAAGGGGGAGAACGGGUUCGUGUUCUUGGUUUCUGAAGUUUUCAUCGUUUUCUCUUGGGAUGCUUUGUGAUGAUUAACGCGGCGCCGUGCCAAUGUGUUGCUGCAGUGAGCCAUGCGGAGGACAUCGAGAUAUCGCUGUGCGACGGCAACUCGGAGGACGAGCGGCGGCGCCGCAAGAUCGGCUCGCUGCGGCGCAAGGCCAUCCACGCGCUCAAGAAGCGCGGGAGGCGGCGCGUCGACUUCCGCUUCCCGCCGGCGGCCAUCUCCAUCGAGGACGUCCGCGACGCCGAGGAGGAGCGCGCCGUCGCCGCCUUCCGCGACCGCCUCAACGCGCACGGGCUCCUCCCCGACAAACACGACGACUACCACAUGAUGCUCAGGUCUUGUUGCGCGGAACAAAAAGCUCCGCUUCCGUUCAUUGCCUCUAUUUGGAUAGCUUUUGUGAAAUGCUAGGAUCUAAACAUGCCAGACAAAUGUCUUGCCGCAGGUUCUUGAAAGCCAGGAAGUUCGACGCAGAGAAGGCUAUGCAGAUGUGGGCAGACAUGCUGAAAUGGAGGAAGGAAUUCGGAGCGGACACGAUCCUUGAGGUGAUCACUUUGAACUGCGAAACAAACCCGGGAACUAGUAGUUUUUCGUAAGUAUUUGUUUGGUUCUUUUCCGAUGAUUAAAUUCGCUGCUGGGUUCAUGUCUUCAGGAUUUCGAGUUCGAAGAACUGGAUGACGUGCUGCGCUACUACCCUCAGGGCUACCACGGUGUCGACCGUGAGGGCCGGCCGGUGUACAUCGAGAGGCUCGGGAAGGUGGAUCCGAACAAGCUUAUGAACAUUACCUCGACGGAUCGCUACAUCAAGUAUCAUGUCCAGGAGUUUGAGAGGGCCUUCAGGGAGAGAUUCCCAGCCUGCACAUUGGCCGCUAAGAGGCACAUUGACUCUACCACCACCAUCUUGGACGUCCAGGGUGUGGUAUGUGAAUGAUUUCAUUCUGAACUGUGCUUGCAGAAUGCAGAUCUUGUUUUGUUGUCUCUUCAAUUUGCUUGCUGUCUACAGGGCCUUAAGAAUUUCUCCAAGACUGCUAGGGAACUUAUUAACCGAAUGCAGAAGAUUGACAGUGACUAUUAUCCUGAGGUAACUUUACUUUUAAUGAUAUUCAGUUGUUAGUAUUUUGGCCCGGUGAACCACUCAAGUUUAUUGUGAUAAAUGCAGACAUUACAUCAAAUGUUCGUCGUUAAUGCGGGCAGUGGAUUCAAGUGGAUCUGGAACAGCGUGAAGGGCUUCCUUGACCCAAAAACUUCAUCCAAGAUACAUGUAAGUUCUUGAAAUUAUGUUCCAUCCUUAGAGGUCAUCUGUUUUGGUAUAACAAUCAUAGGUUUCUUUCUUCUGUAUGUAGGUUCUUGGUUCGAACUACCAGAGUAGGCUUCUUGAAGUAAUAGAUUCGAGGUAAAGAUAAAUACAACUAUGCAUUCAUCUGAACAGAUUCUCAAGUUAUUUUGAAGCUUCAGUUUUUGACUUUUGUUGAUACUUUUAUUUUCUCAGUGAGUUGCCAGAGUUCCUUGGUGGUUCAUGCACAUGCAGCGAUAAGGGUGGUUGUCUUGGAUCAAACAAAGGGCCUUGGAAUGAUCCUUACAUAUUGAAGGUGCCAUUUUCAGCAUUGUGUUUACCUGAAUAUAUUUUGGUUGAUAUGUUGUCCUUGUUUUUCCUUGUACUGAUAAAUAUAUUAUUUGUAGCUGAUACACAACUUGGAAGCUGGAUGUGUGCGGGAAAUCAAACCUGUUUCUGAGGGGGAGGAAAGAAGCUGCUCUUCUUUUCGAUUGGAACAGUUGAAAGUAAGCUUGUAAAUGACAUUCUUCAUUCGAUUAUUGCAGCAAGCAGAUUGCUUCUCUGGAUUCUUGUUCUAAGCUAAUAUAUUUGUCUCUUUCAGUGGCAGGGCAUGUUAAGUGAUACAUCAAAUGCUGAAUCAGGAUCUGACAUUGAUGAUUUUGGCCCAUCAUUCUUUCAAAAAGUUUCUGACUAUGGUUGCCUGACUCCAGUUCGUGAGGAAGUAAGUUUAUCCUUAUCUCUUUUCUUACUGUUGGAUUUGAUUUUCCCUGUUCUCUUAGUCUUACAAACUGCAUUUCUUGUGCCGUUUCAUUGUGUACAUGGUACCUUUCAGCAUAUUGAUGUUUUGUAUUUAUUUCUGCCGUAGGUAAAGGGCACAGAUUGUGCAACAUACUUCAGCUGUGACGAUCAGGGUCACCCGGAUAUGGCUCCUGAAUCUUACCGCGGAGUGCGAAGAACUCAUGAAAUGGUGCAGAAACCAAUGGCUGAUUUUGGGCCAUCUUCCACCAACACUAGGCCUCAUGAUCUCGGUAUCUUCUUUUCCUCUCAUUUUGGUUAAAUAAGUUCUGAAUCUAUAAUUGCUAGCUAACAUGUUAUACAGUGUAAGGACAUUGAAGAUUGUGUACCACUUUCUCAUUUCAUAUUAUGUUAUUGCUCCGCAACCAUGAAAUUUCUAUUUGCAUGAAUUAUUAGUAGUUGUUAUUGUCUGAACACUGCCAGUCAUUAGUUCUCGGGAGUUGGGACCACAGGCCUCCCAAACACUAGUAAAUGAUAGUGGACUUGAUGGUGCUUAGAUGGUCAACAUUGACAUAAUAUGGCUAGAGGACUGAAGUGUGGCUUAGAUGGUUGGCCUCAUGUAGGACACGCAUUUGCUGUGAUGUAUACUUAAUGUGUUGAAUUGAUUCAUGCUAGACUUUCAUUGAUAAAUAUAUCCUGGUGAAUAAUUUUCAUGUGUUCUACUGCUUGAGUGACCAAAAAAAAAACUUAAUUCAUUGCAGAACGGAGUAUAUGAUUUUUAAUGCUAGUUUGCUAGGCUUAUUUGUUGUGCACCUCUGGUUCUAAUAAUAUGCUUAAUUUGAUUUCUUUCUAUGAUUCACUCCAUCUGAGUUUAUUUUAUUAUGCAGUACAUCAUAGAAGAACCUUUACCUUCAAGAAGCAAACCUGUCUUUUCUUUACUGCCGCUGCAGCAGCCAUCGCUAACCUUUUCUUUUUAAUGAUUGGCAGGGAACAAUGCUCUUAAUGUGGAUGGUACAAUUGCUCCAAGGGGAUGGGAAAACAUGAUCAAACUUGUAGUCACAGCCUUGAUCAAGCUCUUUUCCUUCAUCCGGCUUUUCAUCUCUAGAGCUGAGAGGAGGCUUGAGAUCGUCCAUCGUUCUGCUCCUCCAGUAAUCCAAGCAGCUGAGAAGCCACGGCCUCGGACCGUCAGUGAUGAAGAGAUGUGCGCCUGCUUACAGCGUCUGGACAAUCUCGAGUCCUUGUGCAAUCAUCUCGCCACGAAACCACCACAGAUCCCAGAAGAUAAGGAACUCGUACUGUUGAGCUCAUUCGAGCGGAUCAAAUCUGUUGAGGCUGACCUGGAGAGGACCAAAAGAGUAAGUUCUUAUAGUUUGCUAUGCAAAUCUCGGUUGUGCAAUGUAUCGACUAUCAUGGUAUAGUGAUUGAUCAUUUGAAUACUCACAUUUAUGAACUCUGCACCAUUAGAGCUAUUUCACCAUCUAGCUUUUAGUUGACCUGAUUGUUCUUAUUGCAGCUUAUUCUCCUGACGGCUCACUAUUUGUGCAUUGAGUCUUAAAUUUAACAUUGCUUAUUGCAUGUCAGGUGUUGAAUGCCACGGUGGCGAAGCAGAAGUCACUGGUGGAGGCUCUGGAAUCUGUACAGGAGUCGUCUAGAGUUAGGGUACGUGUACUGGAAACAGUUUGUUACAACAUCGUUUGCCAAUCCUCUGGACUGAAUUACAUACUACUCACUAUAAAUUGUUAUAAGCUGAACACCAACCCUUUCUUUGUGCAGAAGAGGAUGUUCUGUUCAUAGGAUAUGGAGGAGCACCAGAUCCGGACCAUGCCGUCGACAUUAACCAACCGUGAAGCUGACGUGUGAAGCCGCCAAUGCCAUUUUUGACCUCGUUGACUUCAGCCUCAUCCAAGAAAAAGAAACAAAGAAACCUCGGAAUUCGAAAGAGAAGAUCGCAACCCCUGUUUGCUUCCUUUCAUUCCCCAUUUUGUUCCCCUUCUGCGCCGUGCCAAGCCCUAUGUUUUGUUUUGCUUGGCCAAGUCGUCCCACGGCCUCGCAUCCAGGGCCGAGAGCUGAGGUGACGGUGAAUUGCUUACGAAUUGCUGAAGCUGAAGUUGUACUGACCCUGCGGCUGGAGCUGUAACAAAGACAUUCUCCAGAUUGAUGUUAAUGCCCGUGCACAUUCCGCCUCUGAUUCUGAUGAUUGGCUAAUACAGAUUAUGACAUGGUCCGUUGAAUUCUCAUUUGCUUUGUACUGGCGUUUGUGUUCGUUUUUUUUUUUGAUAAAACGUUUGCGUUCGGUUUGAGUUCGACACAGCGUCACGGUGCCCUGCUGGCUGUUAUAGUGGUAGGACUAUCUCUGGCCCAGAGCGAUUCGUGUGCAGGUCCCGGUGGUCCUGUGCGCGUGCGUUCUGCUUCACGCUCUUGUUCACUGAGCUAACCUGCGCCGGGACAUGCUCUGAUUUGCCUCAACAUCUCUUAUUAGUUGUUAGCUGGCUGCCUGGCUCCAGGUCCAAGGACGCGAACGGCUGAACUCGGCUACAUGCUCUAUGUGUGAUCCAUUGAUCUUCCUGCCUGUCCAAACUCCAAACACCAAGUUGAUCGCACCAUUUAACGACAGUCAUGGCGUCAUCUCACUUUAAACACCUCAACCUCAUCGUCAACAUGAACCUCAUCUCGUGGCUAGGCGUCCGCGGGGGGAAGUCCUCUGUCGGAGUUCAAAGCGUGGUCAGCCGGUGUUCUGUACUAGGCAUGAAUUAGGCCUCUGUCUCGCCAGUGUGUUCUUGGCAAAGCAAAUUGUUCAGUAAAUGGCGGCACGCUGGAAGAACGAACGGCUGGCCUGCGGGCUGCGGAGUGUUUCUUCAUGCCUGAUCGGACUGAGGUGUUGACGUGGCAAUAUAUAGCUCACACGGUUCAAGCCCUACUCAUGGGCUGAUGCUAAUCAGCUAAUGUAUCCCAUGGAUAUGCUGCAACCUCUGAGAUGGAGAUGCAAGGCGUACAAGGAAACAGCGAGGCCUCUCGGCGGUGUCGUGCUCCAUCAGACCGUCACCGACUUGACCGAGAACGUAAAAGUCGAUGGUGACGGCAAAGUUCACCGGAGAUCGAAAGAAAAAACUCAUCAGUUUCUACUCUAUUCCUACUCCUAGGAUUUUGGCGACAGGCCACCGGAAAAAGUAAAUGUUGUAUUAAUAGAAUUGAUGAUUCUCCCAUUACAACGCCCUGGGCUUAUUUAUACCCUGGAGCAAGCUAAAGUCCUAAUCGGUUACGACAUGAACUGUUACAAUGAUUCUAAAAACUAACUAAAAUAAAUCUCCACGCUUUUCCAUAUUUGGUGGAGACGUCAUAUUUGUAUCGGACUCUUUCUCCUGAUUCCAUCGGCUCUUGGAACCUUCUCACCAUUGGUUGACUGGUCAAAACCGGUGUCAACACAAACACAUGGUUCUCCUUCAAAGCAUCUUUAAACCACCACCUCCGGUCUGAUUCUCGAAAACCCCCGCCUUACAUGGUAUUAGAUCAUGUCACGAUCCUACCUAUCAGUGCAAGCAGUCUAAGGACAUGAACAUAAAGCACAUGCCUAACUGUUAUGAUAGAUCAUGCAUGCAAUUCUAGUCACCAUGACUACAAGAAUAUCCUAUGCAAUCUACUACGUCCAUAGAUUGGAAUAAGCAAACUCGUAUAUGGAUCGUUAUUGAAUUGGAGCUCAUCUAUUACUUCACCAUGAAUAAUUGUUCAUCACAAGAUCUCCACCGAGGCCAUACACGUGAUUUGUGAAUCCUAACUCCAUAACUCCGGUGUGGAUCUUCCAGGCAGGGUGAUCACGCUGGCCAGAGCAUAGUCUAAGCUAGCCCUCGGACAACUACACGGUCCUCAACUCUCUGUAGAUGGUUGUCCCCUAAGUUCUUCGGCUUCUGCUGCUUCGAAUCUGAAUUGUCUCCAUUGAGGGUGCCUAGGGAUCAUAUUUAUACCCUUGGGAAGCCUUGGGACGUACUUCACCUUCCCUUGCACGAGCUCCUUGCUUGAGAGUUAAGCAAACCUUAUUUCUAUAAAAUCUCACUCGUCCAGAAUUUUCUUUUACGCAACCCUUCCUUCCCAACAUCAUAUCUCCCACGUCUGAACUCCAAAUAGGGUAAAUCCGAUGCCUAAAUUGUGUAUAACAUGAAAAUAUCUUCAACUUUGGUAUUCAUUUCUUUUCCUGGAAAUGAAGUUAAGGUCCUAAAAUAGUGACGGGAGAUAAUAUGUCUGUUUCGAACUUCUCAGCACAGCAUGGAUUUCGAGGGUCAUAUCUCCUAGUUUCAUAAUUGAAUUUAUGCUUUUCAUAUGUUCAAAUCGAAGCCCUCAACGAUGGCUACAACUUUGGUAGUCAAAUUUCCUUCAUUAGAGGUCGUUUAAGUCUCCGAAUUUGCACCGAAAGAUCAUGCUAUCUUGGGCUACGCGAAUAUCUUUAGGGUUGACUUGAUCUCGUGGAUAACUUUCCAAAACUCCUAUUUCUUCAUGCUUAAGUCUCAUUAGCCUGGCGUUCACUGUGGGUUGGGCUGUGAAAGCACACAUGAUCCAUUAGGUGGUCACAUGGACUUCCUCAACUGGGCUCGAUUCCUUUGGGCUUGUGCUUCUAGGUGGGCUUUGUGCAAAUCAUCCAAUUUUGCAUGUAUUUUCUAUCAUCUUGCAAUACGAUCCAAAAUACAAGACACAUGCGAAUAUGGAGUUAUUUUAGAUGCCAAGUGACGAGUUAGUAUAAUAAGUAGUCGAAAAACACUACUUAAAUAGCACUAAAAAGAUGGCAAUAACAAGCGACAACACCCUCCACAAAAAAGAACCCACUUGGGACCUAGCAUGAGGUGGAGUUCCAUUCUUGUAAAUACAAUUCCAAUUUAAAUGUACCCAAGGCUAAUCCAUCUUGUUGUAAAAUUCGUGGAGGAACUUGAGUAGGAGAGCAAUGUUUUGAGUCAUGAGGUUGAUAAUACCUAGGCCACCUUCCUCUUUACUUAUGCAGGCAUGUUUCCAUGCAACAAGGCAGCCACCUUUCUUGGAUAAAUCACCACCAUUCCAUAAACAUGGCUUUCUGUAUUUGUCCAGCUUCUUAAUUAUCUCCACAGGAAUUUUAAGGGUACACAUGUAGAAAGUUGGCAAGGCUGAGUAGAUAGAGUUAGCCAAAACUAAUCUCCCUACAUAGGAAAGCAUUCUAGAAAUACCUAUGAGACGUCUCUUCGUUCUUGUCAGGAUAGGCAUGAAUUCAACCACUGCAGGCCUAGUAGUGCCAAGAGGUAGGCCUAGAUAUGUAAAUGGUAUUUGACCAACAUGACAGCCAAAGGCCUAUGUUAGGAGCAUCAUCUUAGAUUCCUCAACAUUAAUUGGGAUCAUGUAAUUAACCUUAAGACAUGUGUAAGAUGCAAAGAAUUGCAAGAUGCUCUUAAGUUUUUGAAGUUGUUUUGCCUCAGCUGGGAGAAUGAGCAUAGUGUCAUCAGCAUACUGCACUAUAGAGAAGUCACUACCAAAGUCUGGACCAAGAGGAUGUCCAAGCAAAUUUCUCUUAGCUGCGUCAUUAAUAACUGACUGGAGAAGGUCCGUAGCUAUCACAAAGAGGAUAGGAGAUAGGAGGAUCACCUUGCCUAACCUCCUCUUGUAUUUCAAAGGUUUUCCAAGGACUCUAUUUAGCAACCUCGAGGAUGAACCCGAGCAAAGAAUGCCCCUAAUCCAUGAAACUCACUUAUCAGAGAAACCUUUAUGUUGUAGAACCUGUAAGAUAACUUCAUGUUCAACUUUAUCGAAGGCCUUCUCAAAGUCAAGUUUAAGAACCACAAUCUCUUUUUUAGAUUUGCGGCUGAUAUGAAGAAACUGGAAAGCCUAUGCCAUACAAUCUUGUAUUGUUCUCCUUUUUAUGAAGCCAUAUUGGUUGUUAUGAAUCACCUGAAGAAUUACUUACUCUCUGCAAUCUGUUUGCCAACAAUUUGGUCAAAAAACUUAAGCGAGCAGUUGAGUAAAGAGAUGGGUCUGCAAUCAUUACAUGUCUAGGGUUAUCCUUCUUAGGAAUCAAGGUGAUCAGGGAACCAUUGAUUCUAGAGAUUUCCAAGUUACCUGAAGCAAAAUUGAUACAAAGCCUAAUAAAAUCCUCCUUGAUAAUGUUCAAGCAUUUCUUGAUAAAGACACCAUUGAAACCAUUAUAUCCCGGGGCAUGAUCAGAAGGCAGAUGUCUGAGCACUUGAUUAAUUUCAUCGUGUUGUGUGUUUUUUAUUUUUGCCCCUAGUUGUAUAUUUUUUAUUUAUUUCUCCUCUUCUAAUAAAAUUUCGAUAAUUCUCUUAGCGUCCGUAAAAAAAAAAUACAGAUUAUGACAUGGUCCUUUGUAUUCUGUCUUUUUCUCCACUACUGGCUUUUGCCAUCGAUCUGAGUGAGCACGGCGAGACAAUGGUUGGUGCCCUGGUACCUGGUGUGGUGAUUUGCACUAGUUGUAUACUUGUUUCAUUGUAUGCACGAGAGGGAGCGGCGUGGGCCCAGCGACUGCCUGCUUGGCAGGCACUGGUACUCGCCGGGCCGGCAAAGUUAAGGGCCCUUCCCGUGCCACCGACGACACCGCGGCGCUCACCUGCGAGUUGCGGCCGGCCGAAAUCCACCUGAGUGCCGUGCCACUGCCGCCGGUCGGCCGGUGUGAUGGCAGUAGGGCCGCGGCUGCCGUUCCCUCGCACGGAGAAGAGGCAGGGAGCACGGAGCACUCCGUAUUGGAUACGCGACCUGGACCCUGUCUCCGGCCUAGAGCGAUAUUCAUGUGCCAUUGCGCGCGCUUGUACGCUGAACUAACGUGCGCCGGGACAUGUCUUUUUAUCCUGACUGGAUGUGGCCGAGUUGAUCGCAGCGUUUAAUGACGGCCCAGGGGGAAAUGCGGAAGGAGCAUUCUUUCCGGGCCUCUGCUUCGGCCCCAAAUGCCAUACGGGCCAAAAUAACGGCCCGCCCAAAGGCGGUGCAGACAACACAACCCUCGGCUUCCUUUUACUUUUGGGCCAAAAUCACUCCCACCGCGGCAUCCUUUUCCUUUUCGUACGCGAAGUAGUACUCAGUAAUUACUGUACGAAGCCAGCAGCGAUUCAUCGAAUUAGUGACUGCUCGCUAAAAAAAUAUAGCUCCACUUCGCCAACUCAAAAAAAAUGAAAGAAGAAGCUAUAUACAUAUUUGCAUAUUUGGCUAUCAGGUGCAAAUCCAGCACUAAAAAAUUAUAUGAAUGGGUGGGAAUAGUCGUUGUUUACAGCAUCGCGAUUGCUUUAUCUUUUUCCAUGCAAGAUUAUCGUAUUCAUAUUGCUACAGUACCUGUUGCCGUAUUGCUUUAUCUUUUUCCGUGCAAGAUUAUCGUAUUGGACAACAUAGACAACAUUGUUCCAAUUAAAAAUAAUAUUCCUAGGUAACACCAAAUGAUAAUACAAAAUCAAUCACCCUAAAAUUAACUAGUUCCAAGCGAAAGCGUGGUGGCCAACUUAUUUUUCUCGAACACGCAGGAGAGCUGCAUAUCAUUACAUUAAUAAGAGAAGAAAAAAUCAUACAGAGACCCGAACACACACCCCACACGCUUAGAACCUUAAGAUCCUAAUCACCUUUUACAUGAAAAAAAA